UUCUUGUUCCAGCUUUUUUAUCUUCACAACCGGGCUUUAAUUAACCAGUUCAGAGGGGAUGUAAUUUAACGUCAUACAAUUUGUUGCAACUCGAUUACCAGCAAAUAGAUUCACCCAUAGAUUUACCUUAGUGUAAACCUCGGGAGGGGAUGUUAUCCUAAUAUUUCCCCCUUAUUUUCUAGAUCUACACUUCGUACACUCGCUAGAUCAGUAUUCAAUGGAACAGUGUUUGACAGAACAAUAGGUGUUGAGCUAACACUCUCUAUUGAAGAUGAGUGGACGUCGCCUUGAGCAAUUUUUGGACUCCUAUGUAAAUUUUGAUGGUUGGAAUUCGAGGUACCUGCUUGGUCAUUGCUUCGCGAACCAGAAUUCACCUUCCUCAACAAACCGCUAUUCAUUGAUGCUUCGCUAGCCUGCAAACAAAGGUCCUUCAGCUGAGAUCCAGCAUGCUUGGAGCUUCCUGAGUUCCCAAAGUGAGUAAUUAGUUCCUUUCGUGGUGUCCCUCUUCGUCUCUGACCCACCAUAUUCACCCCGGCAUAUGAUAGCAACUCCUACGCCGAGAGGAGAGAAAAGAGAGGGUUUCCAUUUUUAUCUUUGAAUAAUUAGCAGUUUAUACAGAAAUUUAUUUGUUCAACCAAGCCUUUAGUAUGUAUUUGAAUAACUCACCGAAUUAGUGAGUUUUAUUAAAUAGAUUCUUGAAACAAGCUUGACAAUAAUUAUAUGAGUUAUUCAACUAUAAAAUAAGCAACUUAUUUAAGUUAUUCAAUUUCUAUUUUUAUUAUAUAAAACUCACUAAUUAUGUGAAUUAUUUAAAUAUAAAAUAUGUAACUUACUUCAUAAUUAGUGAGUUUUAUAAAAUAAAAAUAGAUUAAAAUAAGAAAAAUAGAUAUGUGAGUUUUAUAAAAUAAAAAAUACAUAACUCACAUAAUAUGUGAGUUUUGUAAAAUAAAAAUAGUAAAAUUAUAAAAAUAAAUAUAUAACUCACAAUUAUGUGAGUUUUAUAAAAAUAAGGACAACUUUUUUUUUUGAGUUUUACGCUAGACUUUAUACUACAUAUAAUUCACAUAAUAUGUGAGUUUUAUAGAAAUAAGAAGGAUAACAUUUUUUUUUUUUUGUGAAUUUUAUACUUUUCAUAAGAAAAAUAAAAUAUAACUCACAUAAUAUAUGAAUUAUAUAGAAAUAAAAAGAAUAACUCACAAAAAAAAAUGAAGUUCGUUAAAUUAAUUUUAAUAUCUUUUUGAAUAUAUAAUAUAUUUUAAUAUUUUAAAUAAGUAGGUGACCUACUUUGAUCGCCCCUCCCUUAAGGGGGUAUAUACAAUCUUUAAAACAAUGUGGAUAAUGUUCAAUUGGGACACCAACUUUAGUGCCAUAGACUGGACAUGAAUGAAAAGAAAGGGAAAUGACAUGUGAGUUGAGGCGGAAUGUGUAAUCUGGUGGUUGGAUUAUUCUGAUUUAGUCUUAGGCCAAAAUUAUCGGUGGCCUCCUAAAUUUGGCACGAACUUUUACUUACACACCUUAAGUGAACGUUGUUCACUUUUAACAUCUAAAGUAGCCACAAAGUGUGUCACUUUGACACUUUUGCUGAAUCAACAAAGAGAGUGUGUUGCACUCGCUGCCAACGUGGACAAAACGAUCAAUUGAUUUGUGCCAACUCAUUUAAAUUGCCACAUCAUUAUUUAUAUUCACAAUUAAUUUUUUUAAAAAAACAAAAGGCCAAAAUACAUGAUUAUUAAUAAUUAUCCAACUUAUUAAUAUAUAUACACACACAAUUAAAUUAAAGGAACCAAUUAAUUACUGACACGUGACAUUGUAAAAAAUAAUUAUAAAAUUAUCAACCCAACCCCCAUCCCACCCCACCCCACCACCCCCAAACUCCAAAGUCAUCUGCUCCACCACCACCCAUCCCCCCAGCACCCCACCCAAAGUCCAUCGACGAAAACCAUUUUUGCCAUUUUCUCAAUAUAUGGAUCAUUUUUGUCACUUUAUCAAAAACACCAUGAUAGUCUCAUUAAAUCCCAACAUAUGGAUUAUUUUUGCCAUUUUUUCAAAAAUCAGACAAGAAAAUGAAGGGAUACAGAUGUGUUAAGAAAAGAAAAAAAAUGAUGGAAAAUUAAUGGUUGAAAGAGAGAAGAAGAAAAAGUAGAAAAAGAAGAAGAAAAAAUCUACAAUCUGCACCAACUUGCAUUCUUUCAAAUUAUUAAAAAUUAAUUGUAUUAAGAAAACAAAAUGGUGGAAAACUAAUGAAUGGAGGUGGGGGAGGGUGGGAGGAGACGAUUUUGGGGUAGGGGUGACAACAACGAUUUGGGGGUGGGGUGGACAGACGAUUUGGGGAUGGGGUUAUUAAUUUUUUUAAUUUAAAUUAAUUAUAUAAAAAUUAUUUUUAUAAAAAUGCCGAAUGUCCUUUUAUAAUUGGUUCAUUUAUAUAUUAUAUACCCUAAAACGCGUCGGGCAGCGAGUGCAACACACUCUCUUUGCUGAUUCAGCAAAAUAUGUCAAAGUGACACACUUUGUGGCUACUUGAGGUGUUAAAAGUGAACAACGUUCACUUGAGAACAACAUUCACUUGAGAUGCAUAAAUGAAAAUUCGUGCCAAAUUUAGGAGGCUACCGAUGGAUUUGGCCUUAGUCUUAUGUAUAUUUAGCACUCAUAGAUAGUUAUGCAUGUCUAGUAAUGCAUAGAUUUAGAUGAGUUAUGCAUGCCUGGUAAUGCAUAGAUUCGUCAUCAUGAAAUUUAUGUGUUAUAUUAUUGAGGUAUUUGUUAUGUAAGAUUUACUUAUUCAUCUAUUAGUUAUUUAUGUAUAUUUAUUUCACCUUCUAUCUUACAUAAAUAAUAUUACAGAUUUUCUCAUAAUUUAUGUAUAUAUAUUAGUUAUGUAUAUUUUUAUAUUACAUAUCAAACACCGUAUUAAUUUUAUAUAUGAAUAACUUACUUUCUAAUCAAUUCCCUAACAUGAUAUUGUUUAUGCAAGAUUUAACAGUAUCAUAGAUCACCUUCAAAUUAGCUACCAAAUGCCUCCUUAAGGAUCGAUUGGUUCCCAAACUAAAAUAUAUUGAGAUUAUAAUUCUUAUCCUAAUUUAUCACCUCACCUAGGAGGUGGAAUAAAAUAAUAAUGCCAAAUUAAACGGGAUAUUCAGGAUUAAGAAUUUCAUGAAAAAUUAAUACAUUCAAUCAUACAAAGCUCAUCUAUGCCAUAUGUUAAAAAUUGAGUUCAUUUAUAUUAGUUAUUCAACAAAAGUCUAUUUGUACCAUUAUUUCUUAACAAAAAACAUGAAUAAUUUUGCAAUACUGUCAUCAAAAUUAAACCACCCCAUUCUUUUAUCCCAUUUGAAAUUAAUUCUAUAAAAAUCCCCAUUCUAUUAACGAGUGGCGACGAAAAUAAGCCACCUACUUAAAAUAAGUAUUAAAAUAUGCCAUGUAUUUAAAGUAAUACCAAAAUAGGCUUAACUCACAAAAAAAUGAGUUAUACCUUUUUCUGUUAAUGAAAAGUUGAAUGACGGAGUUUAGUUUUAUAAAAAGUGUAAAACUUACUUUUUUUUUUUUUGAGUUAUCCUUCUUAUUUAUAUAUAACUCACAAAAAAGUGAGUUAUAUUUAUGAAAAGUAUAAGAUUCACAAAAACAGUCAGUUAUAUAUUAAAUGUAAAAGCUUUACCUUUCAUGGAUCCUUUACUUUUAUCCAGCCGAUUUACCUCUAAAACCAUACAAAAUCCACAUCGAUUCCCCACAGAUCUCCCCUCCCCAACACAAAUUUUGUUGAUUCCUAAUCGUUGGUCCUACAUUAUUAUUGUUCCGUGCUUGAAAAUUGAAAAAUUAUUACGAUACAAUUGAGGUAUUUUUUGGAUUCUUCAUUUUUUUAAAAAAAAUUAUUGAUUUAUGGCUAUAAUACUCAAAUUUCCUAUUACGAGCUCAGUUGGCCAAUUCUUCGUAAUUGUUUGGCUUGAUUCCUUGAUUCUUAGUGAUCUACCUUAUAAGAAAUCUCAAUUAUUAGUGUGUACACCUAAUAUGCGUAGUAGUCCCUACCUUAUAAUGUACCAAUUGUCUACAAAAUUUAUUUUAUAUUUUGACUUGCAUUAAGAAUUUUAUUUUGUUGGCAAUCCUACUCAUGUCACAUGUAUGAUAAAUUAAAAUUAUGAAACUUAAUCGUUAACUUAUACUUGAUGUACGAAUGUCGAUCUCAUUAGGUUAGGUAAUUGUAUAUCAUAUAUUUAUUUCUGAUACAUAUAAAAAAAAUUCUUAAUGCAAAUCAAAAUAUAAAAUAAAUUUUGUAGAUAAUUUUUGGUACGUUAUAAGGUAGGGGCAACUACGCAUUUUAGGCGUACACACUAAUAAUUAGGAUUUCUUGUAAGGUAGAUCACUAGGAAUCAAAGAAUCAAGCCACACAGUUACAAAGAAUUGGCCAAAUGAGCUCAUAACAUGAAAUUUGAGUAUUAUAAGCCAUAAAUCAACAAUUUUUUAAAAAAUAAAAAUAAAAAAAUACCUCAAUUGAACCGUAAUAAUUUUUCAAUUUUUCUAGCACGGAACAACAAUAAUGUAGGACCAACGAUUAGGAAUCAAUAAAAUUUGUGUUGUGGGAGAAGGGAGAGGGAGGAGACCUGUGGGAAAUCGAUGUGGAUUUUGUAGGAUUUUGGAGGUGAAUCGGAUGGAUAAAGGUAAAGGAUCCAUGAAAGGGAAAAUUUUAUAUUCAAUGUAUAACUCACUAUUUUUGUGAGUCUUACACUUUUCAUAAAUAUAACUCACCUUUUUUCUGAGUUAUAUAUAAAUAAGAAGGAUAACUCACAAAAAAGUGAGUUUUAUACUUUUUAUAAAACUUAACCCUGUCAUUCAAUUUUUCGUUAAUAGAGAAAGGUAUAAUUCACUUUUUUGAGAGUUAAGUUUAUUUUGAUACUAUUUUAAAUAUGUAAUAUGUUUUGGUACUUAUUUUAAGUAGAUGACCUAUUUUAAUCACCCGUAUUUGCAAGAUAUCACCUUUUCAAACGGUAAUAUGAUUUUUUUACGCCAUUCCUCAUCAUUGGGAAUAGAAAAUAAAGUAAACAACUUUCAUUUGUGUUUCUCAUCCUUUUUUAAUGUAGUAUUUAGUCAUCAAUUAUAUAGUAUAUAUGAUCAAUUUGCAGAAAAUAGCAAAUAUCACACGAGUGGAUCGAAAGGCCUAAGUUGUUGAUAAACUUUGGUGACCAAAUAGGAUUCAAAUUUACUACAUGAUACAUGUCCUCUAACUCGAUUUUCAUUAAAUUUUAUGUUCUCCUAUGUUAGUUGAUACAAUACAAAGAUCACAACAAUGGAAUUUGGGAAAGAAGAUUCUAAAAGUGACAAGAGAAGAGGGAAAGNNNNNNNNNNNNNNNNNNNNNNNNNNNNNNNNNNNNNNNNNNNNNNNNNNNNNNNNNNNNNNNNNNNNNNNNNNNNNNNNNNNNNNNNNNNNNNNNNNNNNNNNNNNNNNNNNNNNNNNNNNNNNNNNNNNNNNNNNNNNNNNNNNNNNNNNNNNNNNGAAAGAGUAGAAUGAAAUGUGUAAGACAUGAAUUUAUUCCUCAAUGUAACAGAAUGUCAGUGAAUAUAUAUGGAAGUGAGAGUCAGUUAGUGCUAACCAUCAUUGCCACGUGAACUAACUACUCCUCACAGCUUGUUAACUAACUUGGAAUAAUUAAGUUAUUCUCUACUAGAACAUGUAUACAGAUAGUUGACAGUCAACUAACAACUAUAUGAUCCCUUUCUCAACACUCCCCCUCAAGUUAGGUGGUGCAAAGAUAUCUAACACUCCUAGAUUAAAGUUUAAGUAGUCAUGCUGAACUUUUCCCAAGCCUUUAGUUAGAAGGUUAGCCAACUGUUCAGAAGAAUGUACAUAUUUAUUUUUAACCAGUCCUUGAGUAACUUUUUACCUGAUAAAGUGACAAUCUAUAUCUAUGUGUUUUGUUCUCUUAUGAAACAUUGUAUUUGCAACUAUUUGAGUUGUUGAUUUACUGUCACUAUAGAGUGUAACCGGUAAACUCACUUCAUAAUCAACCUCCUUCAAUAGUCCUUCUAUCCAUAUAAUUUCUGCAAUGUUGAAAGCCAUACUUUUAUAUUCAGCUUUUGCAGAGCUUCUGGACACUGUACUUUGCUUAUUUUACUUCCAUGAUAUUUAUGAAUCUCCCAACUUAACACAAAAGCCUGUUAUUGACUUUCUAGAAUUUGGGCAAGUAACCCAAUCAACAUCACAAUAGGUAGUUAAAACCUUUUUCUUGUUGCUGGAUAAUAGCACUCCCUGACCAGGAUGAUUCUUAACAUACCUUACUAUUCUUAAGGCGGCUUCCAUAUAUGACCUUUUUGGUUGAGCCAAAAACCAGUUUAGUGUUUGAACCCUAUAAGCUAUAUUAGGUUUUGGUUAUUGUUCGGUAUAAUAGUUUGUCAAUUAAUCUCUGAUAUUCCCCUAUAUCUGGCAAUAACUCAUCAUCUGUAGUCCCUGCCACUUUGACAUGAGUGUCAAACUCAUGAGUUAUUAAUUUUCUAUUCACUUCAAGAGGUGUACCAAUAGGUUUAGCUACACCCAUUCCAAGUUUAGAGAUCAGUUUUAAAUUGUACUUUCUUUGAUGCAUUAAUAUCCCUUUGUUUGAUUUGACAAAUUCAAUGCCCAAGAAAUAUCUCAAGUCUCCCAAGUCUUUCAUCUUGAAAGUCCUUUGUAAUUCAGGCUUUGUCCCCUUAAUCAGCUCUAGAUUGCUGUCUGUGAUCAGUAGAUCAUCAACAUAUACUAAUAUCAUCACAAUAUCAUUGUUUACCUUCUUUAUGGAGAGUGAGUAGUCAUAGUGGCUUUGUUUGAAACCCAUAGUCAUUAGUGCAUCGGUAGGUUUAGAAUUCCAUUACCUUGGGGCUUGCUUAAGUCCAUUUAAGGACUUGAGUAAUCUGUAGACAUGUCUCUUUUCCCCCUAAAUCUGGAAGCCCUGAGGCAACUUCAUGUAGAUCUCAUCAAACAAGUCUCCUUGCAAGAAUACAUUGUACACAUCCAUUUGAUAGAAGUGUCAAUACUGAGAAAUAGUUAUAGACAAGAUAGUCCUGAAAGUGACUAUUUUUACUACUGGGGGAAAAUAUUUCCUGGUAGUUAAUCCCCUCUUGUUGACUAAAGCCUUUGGCUACAAGCCUGACUUUGAAUCUCUCAAUGUCACUAUUGGCAUGGUAUUUUUCUUUGUAGAUCCAUUUGCAACCAAUAGGAUGCUUGUCAUCAGGAAGAAGAACUAUCUUCCAUAUGUUGUUAGCCUCUAAAGCAACAAUUUCUUGCUACAUAGUUGUAACCCACCUAGGGUAUGUACAAGCUUUAGCAAAUGUAGAUGGUUUAACAAUAGAAGUUCCAACAAGAAAAUCCUAAUAAUAUCUGGACAAAUGAUCAUAAUAGAGCACAAUAUCUAAAGGAUAAGUGACUGUCUUGUGAUCAGCAAAAGAAAUAAAGUCCUUCAUCCACAAGAGUACAUUUCUAUCCCUAGUGGAUCUUCUAUUAGUAGUAGGCAUUAUAGUAGAAAAGGAAAGAACCACAGGGGUAGGUAUUGUAGAAGAUGGUACAACAAGGAUCAAAGUACUAGGAGGAUCAAGUGAGGUAGUAUCAUCAAGUAAAAGAGUAGAUGUAGGUGUAUGGUCAGGUAAAUCAUUAAGUGCAGCAGGUGAAGUAGUAUUAUUAGGUAAAGUAGAGGUUACAAGAGUAUGAUGAAACACAUCAUGGGAGAAAAUAUCAGUUUCAGAGAAUAUAAGAGGAUUAUGGGAGUGUAACUAUUGAAAAGGGAAAACAUUCACUGUAAUACCCCAGAUUUUCUUUAAGUCGAGUUUCAUCUUUAAGAAGAGUAAGGGCUGACUUCUCAAGUGAGAAAUAUUUUAAACCAUGUAUAAUUUCCUUAAUAUCGACUAUUUUUCAUGUAGAGAAUUCAAUUAGAUUUCCAAUGAUACCAAUUUCAUCCAAAUUCGGUAUCGGAGUGAGAAGUUAUGGCUAUUUUACUGAGAGUUGUCGGAACCGCCCAGGUGCGACGGACAGGUUGAUGAACCAUCGAGUUUGCUACGGACCGUCGCCCCGACCAUCGCAACCAAGGCAGUGACUCCCUCUUCUGGCAUAAAUGCGAUGGCCAAGAUGACGGACCGUCAAGCUAGCGACGAAUACCGUUGCAACUAAGGCAGUGUGGCCUUUUUCUGACCAACAUACGAUGGACGAUUCGAUGGACCAUCAGACUAGCGACGGACCAUCACUCCGAUUGUCGUAAAUCCCGUUCAUUAUUUUUAAGUCAUUUUAAAAGGACUUUUUGGCCUUUUUCCCCUUUUAACACUUAGAUAAAUUCAAAACGAAGCAUAUGACUUCAUUAUCUCCCAAAACAUCCAAAGGCUAGGGUUUUUUCCUCAAGAACAAACUCAAAACCCUUCUCCAAGAAAUUCAAGAACUCAUCAUGGAUUCUACAAAUUGAGUUGAUAUUUGAGUUCCCCAAAUCCAAGGCUUCAAGAACCCUCUCUUAAAGAGUAAGAAGAAGAGUUUCAAGCAAGCUUGUUCAUGUAGUUUCACAAUCUAAGGUAUGUGGGGUUUGAACAAGGACACUCCUUUCGUUCUUGUGCCCAAAAGUUGUUUUAAUUACAAAGAUAUAUGGUUUUACAUGUUUUCUUAUGAAAUUGAAGUAUGGGUUUAACCCUAUGUUAUUAUUUCUUGAGAUUAUGAUAUUUCCCAUUUUUUAGAAAUUAAAUUAUAUAAGUAUGUUGAUGUUAUAAUGCAAAUUGCUGAACAUUCCAGAUUUUUAUAUGAUUUGUGUAUCCUUAUGACAUCUAGUAUGUAUUUUGAUGUGUCUUAAAUUGAGAUUUAAUUAUGGGUCAUUAAACCCUACUUGAGAUUUCAGUUUUUAUGAACUUUUGUGCUAUAAGCACCCAUGAUUUGAGUAUUUUGAGAUCAUUGAGAAAGUUUUGACCUUAAUGGUCAUAGUAUCUUUGAAAUCCACUUUACCAAAUAAUACUAUAGAUUUUAUAGUUGGGUUCUUAUGAACCAUGAGAUUAUUUUAAAGUGGAUUUCCAUGAGAUGAGCGUAGCUAACUAAAGGGAGUAGUAUUUAGCACCGAGUUGGGUAAGUUACUAUGGUUUCAUGCUCAAGAACUACGUGCCACCGUAGAAUUGAGAUUUAUGGGUCCGAGGCCGAGAUAAGUGAUCACUGAGUUGAGGUUAUACUCCCUGGAAAGAGUAUGAUGCCUUUCUCCAACGUGAGGUUUAUUCCUUAAGAGGACAAGACGUUGGACUCCAUGUAGCUCGCAUGGUUUAUGUCAGUUGAGAGAACCUUCCUAAGAUAUUUUCCCUUGAUGUAGAAUAUUUUCCUUAAAGCUUUGAGAUAAGUGAUUUUCCCUAAUAGUAAGAUUUCAAAAUAGUUUCUUGAAGUACAAUUUUCCCAAGAAGAAAGUAGUUUUCUCUACUAGUAAGAGUUAUAGAAUUCUGAGUUCCAAGUGUCUUGAGUUUAAAAGAGUUCUAAGUUCUUGACCAUUAAAGAAGUUUUACUCACCAUGAGAUAUAUGCAUGAGUUGGAAAGUAUUGUUUAAAGCUUUCUUUAGUCUUCGAGUAAUGAGAAUAAGAGAAGAGUUCAGAUUUUAAAGCUAAAGUAUAAUGACUCACGAGAUUUGUGUUACAUGCUUCAUUCUACAUGAUUUAUGAGCUUAUUAUAUUAGACUUAUUCAAGUAAUGUGAGUCAUUCAUAUUUGAAUGUAUGAUUUGAUUAAAGACCAUGGAUAUUAUUUUAUGUACAUGCGUACGCCCCUAUAUACUCAGUACAUUCUCAAGUUCUAAUCCACAUAUAUGUUUAUGUGCUACAUUGUCUUAUAAUGUAGGUUCAGGUGCUUAGUCCCAGUCUCAUCAGUGAUUUUCGAGUACCUUUGUCUACAUCUCUACAGCGGUGAGUCCUCAUGGUUUGAGGACCUAUCUUCAGACAUUCCAGUAUUAUUAGUAGACAUAUUAUUGCUUUCAGUUCAGUUUGAGUUAGUUGGGGACCUACCCCAAUGGCUCUCUAGUAGACUUGAGUAGUAGAGGCUUUGUUAGACUAAUUAUCAGAUUGUUAGUAUGUUGAGAUUUCCAGUUUUGUAGUCAUUUGGACUGAGUAUUUUCUUUGUAUUUUCUAUCAUUUGAUAUAAGUACCAGUGUUUUGUUUAUUUCAUCUCGAAUUGAGUUAUUAUAUGUAGUAAAGGCUCAAAGUGUUAGUUUGGGGCUACUUGUAGUCUUAAGCACCGUGUGACGUUCUGAGAAGAGAUUUUGGGGCGUUACAUUUACUCAAAAGGAAACAUCCCUACUAACAAAGAAGACAUGAUUAGUCAAGUGAUAAAGAAUAUAGAACUUUUAUGUAUUUGAGUAUCUUAUCAGUAUAGAAGGUUGAGAUCUAGUAGCAAACUUGUCUUUUGGAGAGGGAACCUUGGCAUAACACAAGCACCCCAGAACCUUCAAGUGAUGAAUAUAAGGCUUUUUGUUAUGUAAAAGCUCAAAAGGUGAUUGGUUUCCUAGGCUAGAAGAAGGCAUUCUGCUGAUAAUGUAAGCAGCUAUAAGAACACAGUGACCCCAGAAUUUAAUAUAAAUAUGAACUUGAAAUCUUAUAACCCUUGAUACCUCCAUUAAGUGUCUAUGUUUUCUUUUAGCCACACCAUUCUGUUGAGGGGUAUAGGGACAAGAAGUUUGAUGCAUAAUGCCUAACUUAGUGAAUAAAGAGAUCCAAACUAUAUUGAUAAACCCUAUCCCAUUAUCAAAUCUAAGUAUCUUCACUCCUGAGUCUGAGUUAAACUAGGUUCUAACAUAAGGAAGAAACUAUUUAAGGACUACACAAACAACUAAUUUCAAUUUCAACAAAAAAAUCUAAGUCAUUCUUGAGAAAUCAUCAACAAGGGUCAAAAAGUAUUUAUUACCAUCAUAUGUUGCAGUGUUAUAUGGACCCCAUACAUUAGUAUAAAUCAUGCUAAAACAAGAACUAGUUGUGGUAGUACUAAAGGGGAAAGGUAAUUUUGUCUAUCUAGGUAGAGGACACACAACAUAUUGAUUUAUAGAAGUGACACACUUAUCAUGGGAAGCUGAAAAUAAUUGUCUAAGAACAUAGGAGGACACAUGACCAAGCCUUUAGUGACAUAGCCUAAUAUCAAUAGUGCCUUGACUUGGGGUAUGCAGAUGCACAUUCUCAUUCAUCACAGUUGCACCAUUAUUGCUUUAUGAACAUCCUCACUCUCUUCUGACAUAAAAUGAUAUAAGUCAUCCCUCAAUCUACCAAUCUCCCUCACCUUUUCAAUGAAAAGAUCCUAAAAGAGGCAGAAAUCAGGGAAAAAUAACACAUAACAACCCAAAUCUCUAGUUAAUUGAGCAACUAACAUCAGAUUAUGCUUGAAUUGAAGGACAUGAAGAACAUUGGUGAUAAUGCACCUAGAGCAGAUUGGAGUGGAGCCAAUAUAAGAGACUGGGAAAUAUUACCAUUUGGAAAAUACACUUGCCUAGCUGUAGAUGGUGGUACUUUAAUAAUAUUUUUCAACAUGAUAAGGUCAGACACCAUAUGAUUUGUUGUCCCUGUGUCAAUAAUCCAGUCUGGCUUAGUAGAAUUUGAUUGGAAUGCAUUGAUAAUACCUAUCAAAUUGGCAGAUGUUGCUAGUGAAGGAGUGGAUUUGUUCAACAUAUGUAUAAUUUGGUCAUACUGGUCUUUAGUAAAUGUGCAACUCAGCUGUUAGUUGGAUUAAUAUUCAUAGAAGCAGGACAUCCCGAAGCCAUAUUUUUUUCCUGUGGAUGCAGAAUGAGUUAAAAGUUGGGAUUUUCAAUCUUAGAUUUAGCAGUGAAAGACUAACCACCUGAGGCAAAACUAUACCAGUUCCCCCUUUCUUAUUGAACUUGUAAUCUACAGGAUAACCAACAACUCUAUAGUAAGUUUCCUUAGUAUGACCUCUACCCUUGCAAACAUCACACUGUAGUGGAAAAUACUUCCUAUACUUCUGAUAACCCCUAUGAGAUCCUAAACUUUUAUUCGAGUACAAAGCAGUAAAUAAGGCAGUGGUCUCAGGAGUAGGUCCCGGGACACUAGAACUAGUGGAGACAACCAUGUGGAUUUCAUCACUAAUAAACAUAGCAUAGGCUUGAUUAAUAUUUGGUAGAGGUAUCAUCAUGAUUAUCUGACUUCUAUCUUGUAUAUGUGACUUAUUAAGCCUCACUAAGUAUUGAUAAAGUUUUUAUCAUUGCAUGUGAGAAACAAAAUCUUUAGAUUUGUCACAAUCACAUCCAGGUACUGUGUUAGGGAUUCAAGUUCAUCCCAUAAGUCCUUCAAUUUAGAAUAAUAUGUGGAGAUAGAAGACAUAUCUUGACUGAGAGUUGCAAUCUCUCUGUGUAGAUUAAAAGAUCUACAACAAUCAAUUUUGUCAAACUUUUCACGAAGAUAUUCCUCUGUGAGCACUAAAACUAUAUGCAAUGCCACUGAUUAAAUUUGAAGCUCCUGAAUUCAUCAAUCAGGACAAAACGAUUACAUUGCAUCGCUCCCACUAAUGACAAUAAUUCUUAUUGAAUUUUCCCUUCUUUCACUCUCCAUCAAAAAUUCCAAGUUUGUUUCGACCUAAUAUUGCAAUGCAUAUCGAUCGAUUCCACAAUGCAUAGUGGUUUGAGCCUGUCAGUUGGAAUGAAAUGAGGGAUAUACUACUGGUAUCAAUUGGGAACAAGUACAGAGGUUGAUUGGCUUCAACUGUGGCUCCUAGCUAAAUUGUAGUGGAAGCCAUUGAUACAAUUUACACAGUUGAAAUUGAGCAGGGUGAGAUGAACAAAUAAAGGAGAAACGAAGAAUAGAGGGUUGAUCUAUGAACGGAGUUUCAAGCUCAAUGGCCCUGAUACCAUGUUAGUUGAUACAAUACAGAGAUCACAACAAUGAAAUUUGGAAAAAAAUAUUCUAGAAGUAAGAAGAGAAGAGGUAAAGAGUGGAAUGAAAUGGGUAAGAUAUGAUCUUAUUCCUCAAUGUAACAGUACUUCAGUGAAUAUAUAUAGAAGUUAGAGUCAGUUAGUGCUAAUCACCACUGCCACGUGAACUAAGUACUCUUCACAGCUUGUUAACUAACUUGGAAUAAUUAAGUUAAGUUAUUCUCUGCUAGAGCAUGUAUACAGAUAGUUGACAGUUAGCUAACAGCUACCUGACCCCUUUCUCAACAUCCUACUUUGAGUGUGAAUAACUAGAUACUUAGGAAUUAUUUGGUUGAAAACAAGUUAUCUCAAAAUUAGCUAUCUCGAAAUAAGUUUCAUCAAUAUGUAUAUAGAAUAACUUAUCCCAUCACUAUGAUAUAAAUGGUGGGAUAAAUAAUUGUUGGACUAACUAAUACCUCCAAUAAAAUACAGGAUAAAAUAAUCCUGAAUUUUAUUCUAAUAUUAUUCUAUCUUAUACCUUACACCAGAUGACUCCUUAGACUUAAAUAAAGUUGAACAAGUGUAGAUGCACAUGUCUUAUGUGGUGUUUUAUGUCGCGAUUCAUGUGAGACGCUACAUAGAACGCGUGUGUCUUCUUGUUCAAUUUUGUACGAGUUUAAGUGUCCACAUGUGCAUACCUAAAGUUGGAGGACAAAGAUGCUAGAUGAGCCCAAGUUAAAGUCACGAUAUGUAUUAUGACAUCCUUUAUAAAGUGUCAAUUUUUGUUUUAAGUUAUCAAUUAAACCUACUAAAUAAAGUUAUAAUUAUUAUUACUUUUAAGUAAUUUGAUGAUAUGAUGUAAAAAAGAAUUUUGUUAGUCCAUAAAACUUAACCUCGACCAAAUAUAAUACUACACGGAUAUAACUUUAAUGUCAAAAUUCGCAAACUAAUGAGGUUUAAUUGCAUUAUAUAGACAAUACUGUUCCUAAAUCCUACUUUGUUUGGGUAGCUAUAGCCAUUAAUUAUGUAAUUAAAUAUUUAGUGAAUGAUGAGAAACAAAAAUGUUUUGAUUGCUGAUACCUAGACCAAGAGACAACGAUGAAAAAUAAUACUUUACAAAAAGAAAUAGAAAUAAAGAAAAGUAAUAAUUUAUCUAGUCUUAAUUUGGAAUGGAGUUUAAGAGAUUAAAGAGAUUUUUGGAUCUUAAAUUCUUAAAAUAAAGAUAGAGUGUUGUAAAAUGUUUUUCUCAUUUUUAUGGACUUAAAUAUGUUGCCUCAAAAGUUAGUUUUAAAGAGUUGUCAAAAAAGAAAAAAGUAUUUUUUUCCAAAUACUCUUAAAAAAAAAGAAAGACAAACAAUUUGAAAGGGAAAGACCGAAAGAGUGGAAAGUAUCUCUUUCUUUCUUAACUAGAGGUCUCAAGUUUGAGUCUUUCUGAGUACGUAGUUGCCUUUGAUAGAGAACGUUUUAUCUCAAUACAAGACUUUUCGACACGAAUUCAUAUUUAAUUAGGUUUCAAUUUGUAGGGGGGUGCGCGGAUUUAAUAGAUUUAUUAGGGUAAUAGAUCUAUUUUUAUUUUUGCGUGGAUAUUUUUUAAAUUUUGUUUCAGUAUCUUUUAAUGAUUUACUUUUUUCGUAAGAUAUAUUCAUUAAUUAUUUUAUCCUGUAGUAAUUGCAGAGUUACAAAUUUCUGUAUAAUAAUUUAUCCUAUCUGUGCUAUAAUGUAUAUCUAAUUCUAGAUUUUCAAUGUUAUUUAUUAUCUUGUGUUGUUCUUCUCGGAGUGAGUUUUUUAAAUUAUAUAAACUAUCACAUGUACUUUUAUCUAAAUUUUCUAAAGUUUUUUCUAUCCAUAUUAAUUUUUCUUUUAGGUUUUCCAUUAUUUUUCUAAUUCGGUUUCUAUAAUUAAUUUCAUUAUUUAGAUUUUCUUGAUUUUCUCUAGUUUGUCUAAUAUAUUCUAACAUUUUUUAAUCUGAAUAAUAUCCUUCUGGGUAAAUUUCUUCAUAUAACUGUUCUAGACAAUUUGUAGUUUCAAUUUCAUAGUUUAUUACUUCUUCUAAUAUUAUUUUCUUAAUAUCUAUAAUUUCUAUGUUUUUAAGUAUAUAUAAUAUUAAAACUUUAAGAUAAUCUAAAUGAUCUAUCUUUUAAAAUUGGUUUUAUUAUAAUAUUUUGUAGUUGUUUGUUUUAGCCUUAGUAGUUUUUGCAUAUUUUUAUUAAGAAAUUCUAUGUAUUUUAUAUCUUUAUUUUCCAUGUAUUUGUCUAUAUUUAUUUUUAUCUGUUUUUCUAGUAACUGCAUAUUUUUUNNNNNNNNNNNNNNNNNNNNNNNNNNNNNNNNNNNNNNNNNNNNNNNNNNNNNNNNNNNNNNNNNNNNNNNNNNNNNNNNNNNNNNNNNNNNNNNNNNNNNNNNNNNNNNNNNNNNNNNNNNNNNNNNNNNNNNNNNNNNNNNNNNNNNNNNNNNNNNNNNNNNNNNNNNNNNNNNNNNNNNNNNNNNNNNNNNNNNNNNNNNNNNNNNNNNNNNNNNNNNNNNNNNNNNNNNNNNNNNNNNNNNNNNNNNNNNNNNNNNNNNNNNNNNNNNNNNNNNNNNNNNNNNNNNNNNNNNNNNNNNNNNNNNNNNNNNNNNNNNNNNNNNNNNNNNNNNNNNNNNNNNNNNNNNNNNNNNNNNNNNNNNNNNNNNNNNNNNNNNNNNNNNNNNNNNNNNNNNNNNNNNNNNNNNNNNNNNNNNNNNNNNNNNNNNNNNNNNNNNNNNNNNNNNNNNNNNNNNNNNNNNNNNNNNNNNNNNNNNNNNNNNNNNNNNNNNNNNNNNNNNNNNNNNNNNNNNNNNNNNNNNNNNNNNNNNNNNNNNNNNNNNNNNNNNNNNNNNNNNNNNNNNNNNNNNNNNNNNNNNNNNNNNNNNNNNNNNNNNNNNNNNNNNNNNNNNNNNNNNNNNNNNNNNNNNNNNNNNNNNNNNNNNNNNNNNNNNNNNNNNNNNNNNNNNNNNNNNNNNNNNNNNNNNNNNNNNNNNNNNNNNNNNNNNNNNNNNNNNNNNNNNNNNNNNNNNNNNNNNNNNNNNNNNNNNNNNNNNNNNNNNNNNNNNNNNNNNNNNNNNNNNNNNNNNNNNNNNNNNNNNNNNNNNNNNNNNNNNNNNNNNNNNNNNNNNNNNNNNNNNNNNNNNNNNNNNNNNNNNNNNNNNNNNNNNNNNNNNNNNNNNNNNNNNNNNNNNNNNNNNNNNNNNNNNNNNNNNNNNNNNNNNNNNNNNNNNNNNNNNNNNNNNNNNNNNNNNNNNNNNNNNNNNNNNNNNNNNNNNNNNNNNNNNNNNNNNNCUUGAACAUUGGUGGUCUGGAUAUUUAUGUCCGAUUAUCUUACAGUAUCUUGUUAGCAGUCCGUCUGAAAUAAAUCCCUUUUUCAUUGCUCGCGCGGUAGAUUUUUUUUUCUGGGUUAAGUAGCGUCAGUAUCCAUUGUCUUACGUCUUCCAUAUCUGCUUGUCGUAGCUCUUUUGAAUUUGAAUAUAUCAUUUGGUGAUCUCUUGAAUAGUAGCUCCAUAUUGGGUUUCCGUUAGCAUAGUUAUUUGCUAGUUCUUGAAUGAUCGUAGCUAGUCCAAUAAGUCUUUUAUUUGCAUAAAAAUCUGGUAUCUCGAUUCUAGGUAUCUCCGGUUGUUGCGAAAUAUCUUCUGGUAUAAUCAUAUCUCUUGUUAAUCCUAUCUUUACAACUUGUAUAACUGGUUUUAUUUCGUCAUAUAAUAUCUCUGCUGGUGCAGUAUAACACUUUAUAUAAAAUAAAUUUCCUUUUGUUAUUCUUUUGUAGGUAGUGAAUAUCUUGUAUAAUUCCUCCAUAGCUGUUAGCUCUUCUCCGUCUUGGGUGUAUAUGGUAUUUAGUAGUCCAUAGUCAAAACAAGUUUUAACUAGGCUUGGGUUAGUUUUGGGUAGUGCUAUCAGUUUAUUGUAUCCUUGUAGUUUUUGGGUUAUAUAAUUGGUAUUUGGUUCUUGGAUAUUUGUAGCUCUGGGGUUAUGGUUUAGAAAGGUUUGGACUCUAUAUAUAUUUUCUAUGUAUUUUUGGGCUGUGUAGUUGUAUAUUUUCUUGUCUUGGUUUAGGCUGUCUCGGUAUGUGUUAACUUGUGGGGGUAUGAAUAAAUGGUCUUUUUGUGCUUUUGGGGUAAAUGGUUUUUCAAAUAUUUUGUUCAUAUUUACAUUCUGGUAUCUUGGUCUAUUAACUCCUUUGCUUGUACCUGCAGAAGUAGAUUGAUAAAUGUUAUGGGUUUUAUGGAGUGUCCCAACGUCUCCUUCUAGCUCUGGAUUUUUAAUGUCUUUCGAUCGACAUAGCUCUGCACAUUGCUGAGUUAGCUGAUUUGUAGCUAUAGACUUCAGUUUAUCUUCAUUAGUCUUUAGCUUUUCUAUCUCAUUACCCAUACUGUCCACUUUCAUUGAAAGCGUAGUUAGGGUGUUAAGUAUUUUUUCUAGAGUAUCUUCCUCUACUAUUUCAGUCUGUGUAGCUUUGUCUUGAUAUGUAAUCUGCAAUAACAUUUUUGUUAGUACUGAUCACUUCAAUUGUAAAUGUGAAAUUUAAUAUAUUUAAAACUAGUCUUCGAAUCUCUUUUGUUGUAACUGAAUUUUGUAUUUUCUUUGUUAACCACCAGCGUACCUGUGUAUUAUCUGUUCGUACAAUAAAUUUGUUAUAUACAAUAUAUGGCUCAAAUGCUAAUAAACAUUUAUAUAAUGAACAUAAUUCUUUCCUAUUUAUUUCCCAUUUUAUUUCUGUCUCGUUGAACGUACCUGAGUAGUAUCUACAAUGGUGUUCUAUUUUUUCUGCUUCAUAUCGAUAUUUAAGUACUCCUCCGUAACUAUAUUCACUUGCAUCUGCUUCUACUAUAUAUAUAAAUUUUCUAUUUUCAUCUGGAAAUUGCAAUUUUGGUAAUUCUCUACAAAGUAAUUUUAUUUUUUGAACUUGUUUUUUAUCUUUUUCAUCAUAAUUAUAUUCUAUAUCCUUUUUUAAUUUUUUCUGCAGUGGUUUUAAGGUUUCUGCUAAUUUUGGAAUAUAUUCUCUUACUUGGUUUACUAAUCCUAAAAAUGAUUGUAAUUUCUUUUUUGUAUCUAAUUCUUCUUUCGAAUUUAUUAUUUUUUGUACUAUAUGUUGUUGCAUUUUUACUCCACUUUUAUCUAUUUGUAUUCCUAAAAAUUCUAUCUGGUUUUUCAUAAUUUCAGCUUUCUUUUUGCUUAGACUUAUUCCUGAUUUUUCUAUUAUAUCUGUGAAUUGUUCUAAUAAUUUUAAAUGUUCUUCUUUGGUUUUGGUGUAUAAUAAUAUAUCAUCUAUGUAUACUAUACAAUUAGAUAAUUGUUUAAAAUAAUUAUCCAUAAAAUGUUGAUAUCUACCUGGUGCAUUUUUAUAUCCAAAUGGUAACACGUUCCAUUCAUAAAAUCCUUGUGGUACCGUAAAUGCGGUUAAUUCUUUAGAUUCUUCUUCUAGCUUUAGGUGGUAAAAUCCUGAUUUACAAUCAAAUUUGCUAAAAUAAUUAUAUCCUUGGAUUUGUCUUAUUUUUAAUAUCUUAUUUGGUAUCGGAUAAUUAUAUGUUAUAGUUUUUGCAUUUAAAUUUCUAUAGUCAAUAACCAUCCUACUUUUUCCUCUUUUUUGUUCACUAUGUUUAUUUACUAUAAAUGCUGGACUAUUAUGUUUACUAUUACUUUUUUGUAUAUAUUGUUUUUCUAAUAAUUCAUCUAUGUGCAUUUUAAAUUCUUUUAAAUCAUCAAAAUUAUAUGUUAAUGGUUUUUGUGUUAUUAUGCUAUUCUUAUCUAUUAAUUCAAUUUUUAUAGUAGUUUUGUGUUUUUCCCAUCCUUUUAAUGGAUCUUCACUAUAUAAUUGUUCUAAUUUUUUCUGAAUUAUUUCUAUUUUAUUUAUUGAAAAUAUAGUUAUUUCUGUUUUAUUUAUCGAAAAUACUACUAGUUCUACUGUAUCUUCAGUAUUGUUUAUAUUUUCUAACUUUUGUGUAAUUUUUUCACUUCCUUUUAUCCAAUCAGUUUUCUUUCUUAUUUUAUUAUUAACUCUUUUUGCUCUUACUUUUUGUUUGCAUGGUGUUGUAAACCACCAGUCUGUUUUAGUUAUUAUAUGUGGGUAUAAUUUAUCUAAAAAUGGCAUUCCUAAAAGUAUAUCUUUUGAUGUUAAUUCAUAGUUAUAAAUUUCUUCUAUUGUUAAUAUCUUAUCCCAUACUUGUAUUUUUACAUUCCUAGCUUUAUAAGUAAUUAAGCUUCCUUCAUUAUUAAAUCCUUUAACUAUUAUUGGUGUUUUUAGUUUAUCCCAUUUGCUUUCUGGUAAGCAAUUAUAUCUACAUAAAUUAGCUUCUGCUCCUGUAUCUAUCAUAGGCGUAUAAUAUCUACUGUAAUAUCCUUCUACUACUAUCUUCAUUAAUACAUGUAUCUUCAUUUCAUGUUAAGGCUCUUUUUAAGAAUAACUUUUCUUGGUUAUAUGUUAAGGUUAAUUGUGUAUGUUCUAUAUUAUAUGGUUUUACUUGUUCUAACCAUUUUAUUCCUAAUAUUAUAUCUGCUUUUUGCAUUUCUUCUUUUACUUCGAAUUCUAUUUUUAUUUUUCUAACUCCUAAUAUUAUUUCUUUUUCUGCUAGAUUUUUAUUAUUUAUUAAACUUCUUGGUAAGUCUGGGCAUAUAUUAUUGUCGGUUUUUAUUUCUUCAUUUUUUACUAGAUAUUUUGCUAUAUAAUUUUCUUCUUGUCCUGUGUUCAAAAGUAUUAAAUAUUCUUUUUCAUUUAUUUUUCCCGUUAUGUAAUAUUGGUUUAAAUUACUUAUUGAGUUUGUUUCAUAACUUGUUCUUUUUGAUGAGCUUGAUGAUUCUGGCUUUUCAUUAGCUAUUCUUUUCGUUGUACUUAUUCUAUCAUUUACUAUUUCUAAAUUUUCUUCUGUAUCUAUGUCUCUAUAGGUAUAAUCAUUAUAAUCUAUUGUUUUUACUAUUUGUUCGAAUGGGCUUUCUAUUUGUAUUUUGUUAAUCUUAUUUUUUCCUGUUAUUUUAUGUUUUGUUGUUAAUACAUAUAGGUUUUUACAUCUUGCUGUAAAUAUUUUACUUCCUGGGGUUAACUCUAUUCCUGAUAUUUUCCAAUAUAAUACUAAUGAUUUAUCUAUAUUCCUAUCUGUUACUGCUACUGAAUAAUUUGCACUUAUUAUAAAUUUAAAUUUUUGGUAUAUUAGAUUUCCUUUUACGGCAGUUAUUAUGCUUUUUUCUAUAGGUUUUAUAAUUCUAUCGUCUGCUAAAUAUAAUUCUAUUGGUGUAUCUAUUCCUUCUCUAAAACAUGCUUUUAUUAAUAUCUCUGUACCUCCAAGGUGUACAUAUUUUAUUGGAUCUCCUUUACUUUUUAUAUCAUUUAUUUCUUUAUUAAUUAUUCUUUUUGUUACUAGUGGUAUACUAGCUUUUCCUUUUGCAUAUCUGCAAUCUAUUACAUGUUCUUUUUGGCAUACUACAUAAUAUUCAUCUUUUUUCCUAGUAAAAAUAUUUUUUAUUGUUGGUAUUUUAAAUAUUUUGUCUACACUUAAAUCUAAUUCUUUUCCUUUUAUUUCAUCAAAUAUAUUACUGUCAAAUAUUAUUUUUUGUUCCGUUCCUUCAUCAUUUAAAUAUUCUUCCUUUGUUAUUAUUUUUAUAUCUUCUUCAGUCAUUUGAUUCAUCUAUUUCGCUAUCUAUUUCAUUAUCUGUUUCGUUUUCUGAAAUUUCAUAUAUACUAUCUUCACUUUCUAAUUCAUAAUCUAUAUAAUCUAUCUGCAUGUAUUCGGUAUUUUCUAUUUUUAUUUCUGAUAUUUGUUUAUUUUUUGGAUUUUUAGGUAAUUUACAAUCUCUAGCUAAAUGUCCUAACUUUCCACAAUUAUAACAAGUACAUUCUUUUAUAGAUUUCUUUUUUCUAUAUGGUCUUUUAUGUUUAUAAUUUUUUACAUAGUAUCUUUUUCUUGGUUUUUUAUAUUUAUAUUUUGAUUUUUUAUAUUUCUUAUAUUUCUUAUGUCUUUUUCUUUUCUUAUAAUAUCUUUCUUCGCAUCCAAAUUGGGGUGCUAUUUUAUUUUUGCAACAAGCUAAAUUUCUUAUUAAUGUUUUUUCCAUUUUUAAUUCUUCUCUAUAUUUUUCACAUAAGUUUCUAUACCAUUGUUGUAAAUAUUUUAUUCUUGCUCCUAACGUAUCUACUAUUUUUGCUUCUUCCCAACUUUUUAUUAUUUUCGAACUAAAUGGCUCGGGUAAUUUAUUAAAAUAUAAUUUUCUUAUUUCUUUACUUUCUUCUAUACUAUAUGCUCCUUUGUAAUAAUAUUCUUUAAAUGCGCAAGUAUAUUCAUCUAUAUAACACAUAUUACAUAUUGCUAAUUUUAACAUUAAAUUUCUAUUUGUAUCUUUUUCUUCAUUUUGUUCUUCUUCGAUUGUUGUCGUACUACCAAAUUCAUCUUUUAUAGCUGUUUCAUAUUUUUUUAAUAAUUCUAUAGGUGUUAGUUUAGUUGUUGUCGAUGAUGUUCCUUCUAUAGGUUUAUUAGUUCUUAAUACUUUUUUGCUAUUUUCGGUUAGAUUUGCAAACCAUAGUUUUACUGAUCCUAUUAGUGUUUUUUCUAUAUAUUCCGGUGCAUCUGUUAUAUUUAUAUUAUUAUCUAAUAAUUGUUUUGUCAUAUAUCCUAUCCAUAAUUGUAUUGUUUUUUCUGUAUCUAUUACACAGUCUAGAUCUAAAAAGUUAUAAUUUUUAUUCACUAUUUGUUUUGGUAUCCAUUUAUCAUAUUCAUUAUAUUUUUUAAACUUAUUCUUAUGGUAUAUAGGUUUUCUUAUUUCUGUUGUUUUAGGUAUUAUAUUUUCAUUUUCUUUUUUAUCAAGAGUAUUUAUUUCUGUGUGGGUAUUUUCUAAGUUUUCCUCAUUAAUUUUUUGUUCUUCAUUGAUUUCUAAAUUUUUUGUAUUUGUUAAUAUUUCUGUGUAUGUUUCACUAUCUUCGGACUCAUAAUUAUCUGUCUCUUCAAUAUCUAUAUUAUUUAUUUCUAAUUCUUCGUUUUUUAUUUCUAAUUUUUCCUUAAAUUGAUUUAUCUCAUUUAGUAAUUUCUGUUCUCUAUCUUUUUCUUCUUUUUCUUUUUGUCUUUGUUCAUACAGUUCUUUUAACAUUUGUAAUUCUUUUUCUAAUUCAGCAAUUCUACUAUUUUUGGUUUCUUCUAUUUUUCGUAUUUCUUCCGUAGUUUGUUGUUUUAUUUUUUCUAUUUCUUUUUUCCUAUCUAUCUCUUCAUUUUCUUUUUCUAUUCUUACCAUUGCUGUUAAUUUAUCUUCUAAUUUUAAUUCUUCUUUUUCUAACAUUAGAUAUAAAUGUUCACCUAUUUUCUUAUAUCUUCGUCCUAGAUUAGAAAAUACUAUUUUUAUUUUUGAUCCUUCGUAGUUUUCAUAUAUUUUUUCAUCUAUUAUAAAUUCUUCUUUAUUCAUUUUAUUGUGAAUAGGUCAUGUUGAUAUACAUAUUCUAAACUAUCUAUUUGUGAUUCUAAUUUUGAUAUUUCAUCUUUUUGUGUAUCUAUUGAAUUUUUACUAACUCCGGCAAAUAUAUUAUAAUGUAGUCUUUUUAUUCUUAUUUUUAAUUCUUUACGUUUUUCAAAAAUAAUUUGUUUUAAUUCUUUAUAUUGUUGUACUUUAUUCAUUUUAAAUUAUAUUUAUAAUAUCUUGGUGGAUAUCUAAAUCUAAUUUUAUCAUAAUUAGGUGGUAUGUGUUUCAUUCUUCUGGAUUUUAAAUGUGCUAUUAAUUUUGAUUCUAUACUAGAUAUUAAUGUAAUUAAGUAGGCUAAUUUUUGUGGAUUUUCUUUUGUUUUAUUUAGACUUAUAUAUUCUGAAUAAUUACUAAUUAAAGAUUCUUUAAUUUUUUUAAAAGCUUUUCUAUUUUUAAAUGGUCUUCGCAUUAUUAAUUUAAUAAUUUUGUAGGUAAAUUUUUUAACUCUAAAUUUUUUAACUCUAACUCUAAAUCUAAUUUUAAUAUAUAUUUCUCAAUCUUUACUUGCGAGAUUGUACUUGAUAUAUUAUGAUAUUAUUGUCCUAACAUAAAAAAAUUAAGAAAAAUUAUAUGAUAGAACUACUUAACAUACGAUAUCGAUCUACUUAAAAUCCCAACUCUUUUAUUUAAUUACAUUCAUCCCAUAUUUUAAAUUUUCUUUCUUCAUUGUACUUGACAUCACAUUUGUUAUUUUUAUCUCCUCAGAUUUUUCUCUCCAUUUUCCUCAGAUUUUUCAAAUUUCAACUAUUUUUCUAUUGCAGCUUUGCAUCUCCACCUUUCUCUCAACUUCUCCUUUUCUCACUUUCUCUCAUCGGAAAACCAUUACCACAGCGGUGAAAAAUUUUCAUCUCUGUGACUCCCACUGUCCAACCACCACCAAACCCGUUGCCCUCUCCCACUUCUCUCUUUCCUUCGCUCCUCUCUCGUGUCCUUCUUUCCACCUUCAUAUCUCCCCUCCGGUCAUCUCCAAUAAAAAAGGAUCAUUGGUGAACCACCACCAAAAUAAAAAUCUCCCAAAGCUUCAUCUUUUCCGACGAAUGUCAAAGAAUUUUGAUGAUACAAGUGGAGAUCUAGCCAGAUCUAAUCAAAAGUAUUUGUUUUCUCCAUUCAGAAAAUUUUACGAAAUUUAAGUAUCUGACGGUGAACCAUCGCCAAAAUGAAAACCUUCCAAAGCUUCAUUUUUUUGACAGAAAGUCAAAAUUUUGACGUUACAGGUGGAUAUCUAGCCGAGUUGUUGGGAACAUUUAUUUUCUCCUUUUGAAAAAUUUCACGAAAUCUACGUAUCUGAAGGAUUUCAUAUUGCUGAUACAUAAACUAAUGUAUCUGACUAAAAUUGUAUAUCAAACUGAUGUUAAUGUUACUGAUACACAAAUAAAGCUUGUACAUGUUAUAUUAUGUGUGAGAUGAUAUUAAUUAUGAUACAUUAUAAUGAAAUUUCAUAGUACUUGUAUGUAUCUGUAACACGAUACAUAUCAAUCAAACUAAUAACUCAUGUAUCAUGAUCCUUUAAAAACUGUAUGUCAUCACAUGUUAUAUGUAAAAAGAGAUAUGAGAAUAUCAGAGUAUUAUAAUAUAUUCAGACGACAAUGAUAUAUCCGUAUAAAUUAAAGUAUUCCAAAACUUGUAAUAAUAUUGAAAAAAGUGAAAUAAGAAGUAAUUAGUACUAAAGUGGUGGAAUUUAUAAAUAUAUAUGUCACUGUAUAAAAAGAGGGUGGCCCACUUACUUAAUUCUUUGAAGGCAUUUGGUGUUGCUGUCGUAAUUAUUUUUGGCCUAUAUAUGAUUGAGUAGUUGAUGGAUUACACCACUAAUUAGGGCUGCAUAUCGGUCGGUUCAGUUCGAUUUUGAAAAUUAUCGAUUUUAUUUAUUCAUUAUUGGUUUGUAUAUAUGCUAAACCGUUAAAGAACCUUUAAGAUAUCGGUUAAUCGAUUAUCGGUUUUUAGUUGUUAUUGAUUCAGUUAUCGGGUUAAGCAUUAACAUUGAACAUAUAUAAUUUAAAGUCCAAAGCUACUGUCGACUGCUUACUGCUUAGUGCUUAUUGCUCUUUCUAUGCACAAAGCCACAAUCUGCACUUAUUGCUCUUUCAGUGUACAAGCUACAAAGCCACAAACUAUAUUUUAUGCCGUUAAUUUUCUACACUAACUACACAAGUAUAAAAUCUGAAAUCACAAAUAAUACCACCAAAAAGUAAUCUAGCAAAAACAAAAUAAAAAGCACAUAAGCGAGCACAUGGCUCAUGGUUGCAAUAGUCUGCACUUUGAAAUUGUCUUAUGGCUGCAGCAGUCGCAAAUUCAAAACUGUCUAGCACAAAUAGAAUACAAAACAUUCAAACUAAAGUCACAAAUUUAAAAUUGUCUACUGGUCUAGCACAAAUAGAAUAGGAAAAAUCCAAAGUAACAGUAACUCAAUUUGAAAAUUAAGUUCAAAUUCCAAACAUAGUAAUAAUACUAAUUACUACUCAAGUUUUAUACUACGAGCACGAUACUUCAUCCUCUCCAAACAAUGAUCAACAUGAGCCCUCAAGCAGAAAGUCCCAGUACGUCGUGGAUGGUAAUUAUAAACAUUACCACAAUGAAUACACUUCAUGUUGCACCCUCCAUCAUCAUCUUCUUCAAGUUUUUGAUAGUGAUUCCAAACAGGUGAUCGAACUUUAAGACCACGUUGUUAAGACAUAGCAAAACCUAAUUAAUAGAGAAACAAAGAUAUUAGAAAUACUCCAAACAACUUUAACUAUAUAAGAUAAAUAAAAGAAACAAACCUACAGUACUAUGUUUAGAUAUCUUUGUUUCUUUAUGGUCUCUCAAAUUUUACAAUAAAAACUGUAUUUGUAGAAUUAUGCUUAAAGGUGAAACAUAUUAUUUACAUUGAAAGCAUCUUUUGAAUGAAAAUACUGACAAGUACAUUCAAGCUUGUGUCUUUUAUCAUCAGAAAUGAAAUUCGUGUAUUGAAAUAAUUAUUUUUACAUAAAACACAGAGAUCUCCACCUACUUAUUUUUGUCUUCUCAAGAAAAUAUAUAAGAUAAUACUAGCUGCUAAUCAUCUCCAACUAUUUUAUUUAACUACUUACAAUAGUCUAAAUAGCUGGUAGACAAGUUGCAAGUCACGAAUGAGAAGUUGAAGCAAUACUGAAGUCUCACAUUCAAAUUUUAAUCGAUAUAAAAAAUAUUUAGAUAAUUUUUACUAGAACUAGAUCUGUUGAUCGCCUUCUAUAACCAUUGCUUGCCUUAGUGAAACACUUCUAAAUCCCCAAAUUCUUUACUCUGCUUCAGAUAGACUAAACAUGAAACACCAUUAAUUCCUUCUCACCACAGCUUCAUCGCCGGAUAGUGCCAUAAACACCAAGGAAAAAAAAGUGACAACUCAAGUUUAAGUAUCAGGAUUGACAUUGGAUACCAUAAUGUAACCUUUCAUUUACAGGGGAUAAAACUGAAUUUGCAGGGGAUACAAAAAUUCAGCUUACACAGUACAACACACUACACUGUUGAACCCAAUUUUGACCUCCCGAUACUAAUUUUAGGCUGCUAUUUUAUCAAAAUUAUUUAAUUUUAAUUAUUACACAGUAUUCUUAUAUUAAAUGCAUACUAACAUGUCACAUUCAUAAUUUAGAUAAAAAAUGCAUAAAUUAUUUCAUUAUCUUUUAGCAUCAUUUUUAUAAUAUUUUAUGACAUUUUUAUGUGAUUUUAUUUAUUAAAUUAUUUUUCACAUAAUUGUGCACACUCCCAUUUUUGCAAAUAUAUUUUUCAUUAUUUAGUACUAUUUAUUUAUUUAUUUAUUUAUAUUAUUAUUAUUUAUUAAUAUUUUUAUCAUUAUUAUUAUUAUUUAUUAUUAUAUUAUACUACUAGAAUUUAAAUAGCGGCCUAAUUUGAAAUCUUUGCCUAAUUUACUCAUCUUGUAACUCAAUUUAUUCAAUCUCUUACAAUUUCAACCAUCUUAUUACAAUUAUGGCCAAUUAAGAAUUUAAUUUUAAUUUAUGGACCAAAUCCUCAACCUUUAAAUCUUAACCGUCGAUCAAAACUAAUCCGACGGCUGAGAUCAAAGGAUCUCCUCAUUUCCUUUUAAAACCUAAAUUGAGAAACCCUAACCCUAAGCCCCCAUUUUCAUCCGCCUCCCCCAUCUCUCUAUCCCUUCUCUCUCUACCUCCCCUUCUCUCUUAUCAUCAUCAUCGACAUCUAUGGCUACCACCGGCCACCCCAAUGUCGGGGAAACCCUUUCCCCUUGCUCUCCUUCUCGUCUCCCUCUAAACUCCCUCUCCUCUCGUCCUCCACCAACGAAACCAGCCACCAAAUGCUGCUCUAGUCGUCGAUAUCAGCAGGUAAAGCGGCGCCGCCGCUGCUCCACUCUCUCCACCGAUAAGCCAACACUAACGGUAGACCCCCAGAUCUGUUGCCUCUGACAACAGCAGUCGUGAACCAUCCCCCGCUUUUUCUUUGCUACUCUAGCGUCUCCUCCCAGCGCCGCCAGCUCGCCCCCAUCAACGCCACCAGCGGCGCCGUCACCAGCGGCGCCACUACUUCCCUCUGUUCAUAUAGGUUCCCAUUGGAAUUAAGGCCGAUGGGGUUCCCUUUUGAUGAAUUCAGUUACCCUAUGAUUUGAUUCCUUAUCUCAUUAAGUGCAUGUUGGUUUCUUGAGUUCGACUUGUAGGUUCUUUUUUUUCUUUUGGGUACAAACGGCCUAAAUUAAUUUCUUAGAUCUAAGGUUUAUGAUAUCUAACUUUGAGUGUUGAUUCAAUUCAUUUAAUUAAUUAAGUGCCUAUUUUUAGACUAUUAUGAGAAUACUUUUAGACUGCUAUUGUAACACCCCAGAAAAUGGAUCCCGGAGCGUCACACGGUGCUUGAGGCUACGAGUAGUCCCAAGCUAACCCUUUGAGCCAUUUUCAUUCAGUUCAACAAAAAUCAACGAGGUUUCCAUAAAUAACCCUCAAAUAUCAAUAGAGUAAUCAUCGUCCAAGAAUAAAAGAAUUUCAGAAAGAUAACAAAAUACGACUUAUUAGUCAACUCCCAACAUCUAUACUAGUCUGAGCAGCCUCUAAGAAAAUCNNNNNNNNNNNNNNNNNNNNNNNNNNNNNNNNNNNNNNNNNNNNNNNNNNNNNNNNNNNNNNNNNNNNNNNNNNNNNNNNNNNNNNNNNNNNNNNNNNNNNNNNNNNNNNNNNNNNNNNNNNNNNNNNNNNNNNNNNNNNNNNNNNNNNNNNNNNNNNNNNNNNNNNNNNNNNNNNNNNNNNNNNNNNNNNNNNNNNNNNNNNNNNNNNNNNNNNNNNNNNNNNNNNNNNNNNNNNNNNNNNNNNNNNNNNNNNNNNNNNNNNNNNNNNNNNNNNNNNNNNNNNNNNNNNNNNNNNNNNNNNNNNNNNNNNNNNNNNNNNNNNNNNNNNNNNNNNNNNNNNNNNNNNNNNNNNNNNNNNNNNNNNNNNNNNNNNNNNNNNNNNNNNNNNNNNNNNNNNNNNNNNNNNNNNNNNNNNNNNNNNNNNNNNNNNNNNNNNNNNNNNNNNNNNNNNNNNNNNNNNNNNNNNNNNNNNNNNNNNNNNNNNNNNNNNNNNNNNNNNNNNNNNNNNNNNNNNNNNNNNNNNNNNNNNNNNNNNNNNNNNNNNNNNNNNNNNNNNNNNNNNNNNNNNNNNNNNNNNNNNNNNNNNNNNNNNNNNNNNNNNNNNNNNNNNNNNNNNNNNNNNNNNNNNNNNNNNNNNNNNNNNNNNNNNNNNNNNNNNNNNNNNNNNNNNNNNNNNNNNNNNNNNNNNNNNNNNNNNNNNNNNNNNNNNNNNNNNNNNNNNNNNNNNNNNNNNNNNNNNNNNNNNNNNNNNNNNNNNNNNNNNNNNNNNNNNNNNNNNNNNNNNNNNNNNNNNNNNNNNNNNNNNNNNNNNNNNNNNNNNNNNNNNNNNNNNNNNNNNNNNNNNNNNNNNNNNNNNNNNNNNNNNNNNNNNNNNNNNNNNNNNNNNNNNNNNNNNNNNNNNNNNNNNNNNNNNNNNNNNNNNNNNNNNNNNNNNNNNNNNNNNNNNNNNNNNNNNNNNNNNNNNNNNNNNNNNNNNNNNNNNNNNNNNNNNNNNNNNNNNNNNNNNNNNNNNNNNNNNNNNNNNNNNNNNNNNNNNNNNNNNNNNNNNNNNNNNNNNNNNNNNNNNNNNNNNNNNNNNNNNNNNNNNNNNNNNNNNNNNNNNNNNNNNNNNNNNNNNNNNNNNNNNNNNNNNNNNNNNNNNNNNNNNNNNNNNNNNNNNNNNNNNNNNNNNNNNNNNNNNNNNNNNNNNNNNNNNNNNNNNNNNNNNNNNNNNNNNNNNNNNNNNNNNNNNNNNNNNNNNNNNNNNNNGGUUCUUGAAGUUGGAUGUAGGAGCUUAGGGUUUUCUUUUUGAGGGAAUUUGAUGAAAUAUAACAUAUAAUGCUUCUAAUAGGCUUUAAUAUAGGGUUUGGACGGAUUUUGGGUGAGGGGGAAUGACCAAAAAGCUCCUAAAAAUCAAAUAAUUCUCGAAUCUGUGCUUUGGUGGACUGUUUUGAUAGUUUGAAGUAGAUCAACCAUAACGUUUUACUCCGACAUCCAUAUUAGAUGAAACCAAUUUCAUUAGAAAGAGGACUCUCAUAUAUUUCCGUUGAUAUAUAGUAUCUCACCCAGAUCAUUGUGUACGAGGAGUUAUGAUCAUUUAAAUUUGACCCAAAAAUUAGCUUUUGAUAGGCUGAAGUAGAUCAACCAUAACCUUUUGCUCCGAUAGACAAAUUUGAUGAAACUAAUUUCAUUGGAAAGAGGACUCGCAGAGCUUUCCGUUUAUAUAUAAUAGAUCACCCAGAUUAUUAUGUACAAGGAGUUAUGAUCAUUUAAAGUUGGAGCAAAAAUACGCCAGGCCUCAGUACUUUUUCCUGCACGCUUUGCUAUUCACUACUAUUCAUAGUUCGAUCGGAAUUUUCAUAACUCAUCGCUCGGGUGUCCGUUUUGGAUGAUCCAUAUAUCGUUGGAAAUAAUAUUUGAUACUCUAUGCAAUGGUGGGUCAUAAUCUAAGACAUUACGUACGAAAAAUUUAUAAUUCAUUCUAGAAGAUAGAACCCAACACGUUUAUGCAUAAAAUUUUAACAAAAAAUUUCUCGGGGUAUUACAUCAUCCCCCCCUUGGAAACAUUCAUCCUCGAAUGAUGCUAUACAUGCUAAGAUUAGAGAGGAAAUAGAGAAUACAGCUGAAACCAUUCGUUAGACUCAUCAUCACAUCAUUUCUCACUUCGAAUGCAACAUAGAAUGCAUAAAUUCAAGAAACUACAGUUGAACACAUAAUAAAUGACAGCUGAACUACUGCAACUUUUAUAAAAAGUGCAUGAUUUAGGAAAGAACGGUACCUUCGGCUUGAUCGGAGUUCGCGGAAAAUAGGUGCGGGUACUUGGAUUGCAUAUCCGCCUCAGCUUCCCAAGUUGCACCCUCAACAGAUUUGUUUUGCCACAACACCUUGACCAUGGGAACUUCUUUGUUCCUUAGUCUUCGGACACUGAAAUCAAGAAUCUCAAUAGGAAUCUCAUCGAAAGAAAGAUUUUCUUGAAUGUCAGCACUCACAGAGGAAUCCACUACCACAACAUCGCUAAUAUGCUUUCUAAGCAUGGAGACAUGGAAUAUUGGAUGAACAGAGGACAACUUUGAAGGCAACUCGACCUCAUAAGCUACCUUACCAACACGGCUAAGAAUUUUGUAAGGACNNNNNNNNNNNNNNNNNNNNNNNNNNNNNNNNNNNNNNNNNNNNNNNNNNNNNNNNNNNNNNNNNNNNNNNNNNNNNNNNNNNNNNNNNNNNNNNNNNNNNNNNNNNNNNNNNNNNNNNNNNNNNNNNNNNNNNNNNNNNNNNNNNNNNNNNNNNNNNNNNNNNNNNNNNNNNNNNNNNNNNNNNNNNNNNNNNNNNNNNNNNNNNNNNNNNNNNNNNNNNNNNNNNNNNNNNNNNNNNNNNNNNNNNNNNNNNNNNNNNNNNNNNNNNNNNNNNNNNNNNNNNNNNNNNNNNNNNNNNNNNNNNNNNNNNNNNNNNNNNNNNNNNNNNNNNNNNNNNNNNNNNNNNNNNNNNNNNNNNNNNNNNNNNNNNNNNNNNNNNNNNNNNNNNNNNNNNNNNNNNNNNNNNNNNNNNNNNNNNNNNNNNNNNNNNNNNNNNNNNNNNNNNNNNNNNNNNNNNNNNNNNNNNNNNNNNNNNNNNNNNNNNNNNNNNNNNNNNNNNNNNNNNNNNNNNNNNNNNNNNNNNNNNNNNNNNNNNNNNNNNNNNNNNNNNNNNNNNNNNNNNNNNNNNNNNNNNNNNNNNNNNNNNNNNNNNNNNNNNNNNNNNNNNNNNNNNNNNNNNNNNNNNNNNNNNNNNNNNNNNNNNNNNUUUGGUGUUCAACCUUAACCUGUUGGCAUGUUGUACACUUAGCUACAAAGGCUGCUAUAUCUUUCUUCAUGCCAUUCCACCAAUAGAUUUUCCGCAAGUCUCAGUACAUCUUGGUGUCACCAGGAUAAAUAGAAUAUCGCUCCCCGUGCGCUUCAUCCAUAAUCAUCUGUCUCAGAUCAUCAACACUUGAGACACACAAUCUACCCUGCAAUCUCAACACACCAUCUCUUCCUUGGAAGAAAACCUCUACUUUUUGGUCCUUGACUGGCUCCUUCAGUCUGACCAAACUAGCAUCUAAGUAUUGCUUUUCCUUCACUUCCGAAACCAAGGAGGAUUCGGAACUACUCUGAAUCCCUUUACUACCUUCAGCAGAGUCAAACAACCUAACCCCCAAUCUAGCCAAAUGAUGUACAUCACAAGCCAACUCUUUCUUACCUUACACCACAUGCAAAACACUACCCAUGGACACUCUACUUAGGGUAUCUGCCACAACAUUAGCCUUGCCCGGAUGGUACAGCACACUCAUAUCAUAGUCCUUUAAUAAUUCUAACCAUCGUCUCUGCCUAAGAUUCAAUUCUCUCUGGGUAAACACAUACUGCAGACUCUUAUGAUCAGUGAAAACAUUAACAUGGACACCAUACAAAUAGUGUCUCCAUAUUUUCAAAGCAAACACAAUAGCAGCCAACUCAAGGUCAUGGGUGGGGUAAUUUUUCUCAUGGGGUUUUAACAGUCGAGAAGCAUAAGCUAUCACUUUACCCUUCUGCAUUAAUACGUAACCCAACCCAACUCUCGAAGCAUCAUAGUACACCACAAAACCAUCAACACCAUCAGGCAAAGUCAAAACAAGGGCUGAAGUGAGUCAAGUCUUCAGCUCCUGAAAACUCUUCUCACAAGAUUCGGACCAUAANNNNNNNNNNNNNNUCAACAAAAUGGCGGUAAUAGCCAGCUAAACCCAAGAAACUUUGGAUAUCAGUCAGAGAAAUAGGUCUAGGCCAAUUUCUAAAAGCUUCGAUCUUUUGGGGAUCAACUUUAAUACCCUCGGAAGAAAUGAUAUGACCUAGAAAAGCAAAUGACCUUAGCAAAAACUCACACUUACUGAACUUGGCAAACAACUUGUGAUCUCUAAGGGUUUGCAAGACAUUUCAAAGAUGAUUAGAAUGUUCAUCCUCACUACGGGAGUACACCAGUAUAUCAUUGAUGAACACUAUGACAAGCAUAUCCAGAUAUGGUCUGAACACUCGAUUCAUGAGGUCCAUGAAAGCUGCUGGGGCAUUAGUUAACCCAAAAGACAUAACAAGAAACUCAAAAUAGCCUUAACAAGUUUGGAAAGCAGUUUUCGGGUUGUCACACUCCCUAACUUUGAGUUGAUGAUAGUCGGAACGAAGGUUUAUCUUGAGAAAUAACUUGUACAUUACAAUUGGUCAAACAAAUCAUCUAUUCUCGGAAGGGGGUACUUAUUUUUUACGGUGACUUUAUUCAGUUGGCGGUAAUCAAUGUACAUACGCAAAGAGCCAUCUUUCUUUCUCACAAACAACACAGGAGCACCCCAAGGAGAAACACUAGGCCUUAUGAAACCCUUAUCUAGUAGAUCUUUGAGUUGCUUUUUCAACUCCUUAAGUUCUACAGGGGCCAUAUGGUAAGGAGGAAUAGAAAUGGGAUGAGUAUCGGGAAGAAGAUCAAUCCUGAACUCUAUCUCUCUAUCAGGAGGUAUCCCUGGGAGAUCAUCUAGAAAGAUAUCAAAAAACUCAUUGAUGAUGUUAAUAAAAUGGAGAGUAGGAGUCUCAGACUUAGUGUCUUUGACUCUUAACCAAAUGGUAAAUACACCCCUUGGAAAUAAGCUUUUAGGCUUUGAGGUAAGAGAUAAAAUUACUCUUGGGUGACACAGAAUUCCCAGACCACUCAAACAUAGAUGCACCCGAAAACUAAAACUUGACCACUCGUGUCCGACAAUCAAUAAAGGCAUAAGAAGAAUACAACUAGUCCAUAUCCAGAAUCACACAAAAUCUACCAUGUCUAACUCAAUCAGAUUAGCCAAUAAGACUCUAUAAAGAAUGGUAACAGGACACUUUUUAUACACUUUCUGGGCAACAAUCGAAUCACCCACUGGGGUAGAAACUAGGAUAGGCUCAGGAAUAACCUCAGGACCCAUUUCAAAAUUCACAGCAAUCAAAGGUGUAACAUAUGAGAAACUGGAUCCAGGAUCCAACAAAGCAUACACAUCAAACUGUAAUAUACAAAGCAUACUAGUAACAAUAUCGGGAGAGUCCUCCUGUUCCUGGCGGGACGGUAAAGCAUAGAAUCUAUUCUGGCGCUGCCCUCCAGCAUUGCUAGAAGAGAAGCGCUCAGGGGCUGGGUGAGUCGUUGGAACUGGAGCACUAACAGUCUGAGUCUGGGUCUGAGGGCGAUAGUCACGACGCCUUUGUCCAUCCUGUGGACAAUCUCUAACUCUGUGACCUAUGUCACCACACUGGAAACAACCCCUCUUCUCACCCCAAUACUCACCCAAAUGAGCCCUACCAUACUAAGGACACAGGGGAUGAUUUGGCUUAUUGCCAGCACUGUAUUGGGACCUAGAUGCAUAUGACCUGCUACCUUACUCCUGCUUACCUCUAGGCAUGGGAGCACUAGCAGAUGACGGUCCUGGCAUAGACGAAUGAUCCUGAUACUGAGGGCGACUCCCUCCCUGCGAUCUAGUAUGACCCUGUUCGUACUGCUCAGACCUACCUCUCUUAUUCUCUCACAUUCUAUCUCUCUCCUUAAUCUUGUCUUCCUCAAUCUGUUGGGCAUGAGUCAUCAGCCUAGAAAUAUUUAUCUCACUAUUCAGCAUAGCAGUCCUACACUUCUUAACCACAUAACUAGACACUCCAGUCACAAACUUACUCAUACUAGCUCGAUUAUCAGCCACUAAGUCAGGAGCAUACUUGGCCAACUGAUUGAACUUUAGACAGUACUCCCUAAUAGUCAUAGAGCCCUGUCGCAGGUUCAUAAACUCUUCCACCUUUACCUCCCUCAUCUCCAAAGGGAAAAACUUAUCCAAGAAUGUAUCCUGGAACUCUUGCCAAGUUGUAGGGACAGCUUCCUCACCUCUACCUUUCCUUCAAGCAACAACCCAAUCAUAAGCAAGAUCUUUAAACCUAUACACAGCUAACUCCAUACUAUGUUCCUCAGUUAAAUGCAUCACCUGAGUAAUUUUCCGCACCUUCUCUAACAACAAUCAUGAAUCCUCAUCAGACUUGGACCCAUAGAAUUUCGGUGGAUUUAUCCAAAUGAAGUCACGGAUCCUGGCAGCGGCUGAAUCACCUCCCUGCUGCUGUGGAGCCAGGGCCGGGUUGGCCUGAACAUUUGUAGUAACAUCUUGGGCCAGUGCCUGAAAGGAUGCCCAAAAUUUAAUAUGAGACACAUUUUCAUUCAAUGGGUCAGCAGGUUGAGGUUGUUGACCAUCAUUAUUUUUUCUCGCUCGACAUGAAGGCAUAUUUAUGAAAGAGGAGAGCACGAAUCAAUAGCAGAGAGAGACACUUUAAGUAAGAUUGACUUCUGAAAGAAAGAAUCACACUUUUUCCUAAAACGUCUUAUAGCCUCUUGCUUAUAGAUGUGGCGUGCUACACACUGAUGAUCAAGACUCUACUUAACUUGGCUUGUCAGACUCCCUAGGACAGCUUAAAACCUUAGGCUCUGAUACCAAGUUUGUAACGCCCCGAGAAAUGGGUCUCAGAGCAUCACACGGUGCUUGAGGCUACGAGUAGCCCCAAGCUAACCCUUGGAGCCAUUUUCAUUUAGUUUAACACAAAUCAAUGGGGUUUUCAUAAAUAACCCUUAAAUAUUAAUAGAGUAAUCAUCGUUCAAGAAUAAAAGAAUUUUAGAAAGAUAACAAAAUAUGACUUAUUAGUCAACUUCCAACAUCUAUACAAGUCUGACAAGCCUCUAAGAAAAUCAAUAAAACCAGCGAGCCAAUGAGACAUGCCCCAACUGACUCAUACUCAGUUAUCAAAUGUAAACAAUUCCGUGAAACCAAUAUCAGACAUGAUGUCCUUGGAACAUGAGGACUCACCAUAACAAAGGAUGUAGAACAGCAUGCCCGAAGAAUCACUGUCAAACCUAUAAUUGAGCACCUGAACCUAUAUUCUGAGAAAAUAUAGCCCACAUCCGAAGAUGUGGGUCAGUAUCAUGGAAAGGAACCAAGUAUAUGGGGGUGUAUGCAGUUGUAUAAACAUCAUCAUCAUAAAUAUUUAUAAGAAAUAUACAGGAUGUAUGAAAGACUCACAUAGCUCGAAGAAAAUCAUCAUAAUCAUGAGAGGAUGAAAUAAGUACAAUAACACAUGUGAGUCAUCAUAUAAUUUGUCAAUCACUUUCAGUUCAUCAAGAAUAUCAAUUCUCAUAAUGUAAAUAUCAUUUAAAUCUUUCGAAAGAAUAACUUUCACAAUUCCACUUUCAAAUCACUUCACCAUUCACCAUAGACACAAGGAAACACACACACACUGGGAGAUCCUAUAACCGACAUAAACCAUGUGAGCUACAUGGAGUCCAACGCACAACCCACGUUAGGGAUAGCCAUCCUAUCCUUGCCAUCGGAGUAGGACUAUUGAUAUCAAAUCCANNNNNNNNNNNNNNNNNNNNNNNNNNNNNNNNNNNNNNNNNNNNNNNNNNNNNNNNNNNNNNNNNNNNNNNNNNNNNNNNNNNNNNNNNAAUGGGGUUUCCAUAAAUAACCCUCAAAUAUCAACAGAGUAAUCAUCAUCCAAGAAUAAAAGAAUUUCAGAAAGAUAACAAAAUAUGACUUAUUAGUCAACUCCCAACAUCUAUACUAGUCUAACAAGCCUCUAAGAAAAUCAAUAAAACUAGCGAGCCAUUGAGACAUGCCCCAACUGACUCAUACUCAGUUAUCAAAUGUAAACAAUUUCGUGAAAUCAAUAUCAGACAUACGCCCUUGGAACAUGAGGACUCAUCACAACAGAGGAUAUAGAACAACAUGCCCGAAGAAUCACUGUCUUGAAGUUUAGUUCUUGGAGUUUUUGAACUAGGAACUUGGAAUUUUUGAAUAAAUUUGCAAAAUUAAUGGUGAACUUUGGAGGUUCUUGAAGUUGGAUGUAGGAGCUUAGGGUUUUCUUUUUGAGGGAAUUUGAUGAAAUAUAACAUAUAAUGCUUCUAAUAGGCUUUAAUAUAGGGUUUGGACAGAUUUUGGGUGAGGGGGAAUGACCAAACCACCCCUAAAAAUCAAAUAAUUCUCGAAUCUAUCCUUUGGUAGACUGUUUUGAUAGUUUGAAGUAGAUCAACCAUAACAUUUUACUUCGAUAUCCAAAUUGGAUGAAACCAAUUUUAUUAGAAAGAAGACUAUCAUAUCUUUCCAUUGAUAUAUAGUAUCUCACCCAGAUCAUUGUGUACGAGGAGUUAUAAUCGUUUGAAAUUGACCCAAAAAUUCACUUUUGAUAGGCUAAAGUAGAUCGACCAUAACUUUUUGCUCCGAUAGACAAAUUGGAUGAAACCAAUUUCAUUGGAAAGAGGACUCGCAGAGCUUUCCUUUGAUAUAUAGUAUAUCACCUAGAUCAUUAUGUACAAGGAUUUAUGAUUGUUUAAAUUUGGAUAAAAAAUACGCCAGGCCUCAGUACUUUUUCCUGCACGUUUUACUGUUCACUAUUAUUUACGGUUCGAUCGGAAUGUUCAUAACUCAUCGUUCGGGUUUCCGUUUUGGAUGAUUCAUAUAUCUUUGGAAAGCUUAUUUGAUACUCUACGCGAUGGUGGGUCAUAGUCUAAGACAUUCUGCAUGAACAAUUUAUAAUUCAUUCUAGAGGAUAGAACCCAACACGUUUACUCAUAAAAUUUCAAUGAAAAAUUUCUCAGGGUAUUACAGCUAUGUGCAAAAAUCUCCCAUUCUUUUGAAACUCAAUAUGAUUACUGACUUUUUUCCUGUUCUUGGAAGAUGUUUUACUUGUAUUAUGCAAGGUCUAAUUGAUGUUGACAGAAUGUGAAUUGGUGUUCAUGGUAAAAUACUGACUAUGUUAAUUUAGCAGAUUGGUGGAAUUGAUUUAGCCUGAUUGUUUUUGUGAUUAACUUUCUUGUGAUUCUUCAAUCAAUGUAAUAUAUACGACAAAUACUAAUGUUAAUACAUAUUUCUAUUAUUAUUUAUUCUCUUUUAAAUAAGCAUUUUUUGACUCAUCUAUUUAUGGUAAACAGAUUAUUGAUUGAGUCAACUGUUUAAUUAGUGUGUAAACUUUUAUUAAAUACCGCCUGCCUUGAUUAUAUGGUUACCAUAUUUUAGGUUGUUCUUUUAUGGUAAAUAUAGCACUAGUUUUAUUUUUCCUCUUUUAAUUGAUUCUUGAUUGGUGGAAUUGAUAUUCUCAAUAUGUCUUUCCUUUUAUGUCACGGUAUUACACACUAUAUAAACAACUCUUCUUUUUUAUUAACAGAAAGUUCACAAGUUCUACAAAACUACAAUUCUGCUACUCUCUUAAAAUAAAAAAUCAUUAGCUAUUUCUAUACAAAAACAAUUAUAUACUUUGAGGUUCCUUCGACUUUUCUUCGAGGCUUACAGAAAUAUCUUGCAUAUUUCGCCGUGCUCGGCUUUUUUUUAUUCUUAUUAUCACCUGUUAUUGCUGCUCACCGGUGAGUUUCAAAUCAAUGCCGUAUUUUUCAUUAUGUGAGUUGAUUAUAUCAUGCCAUGGAAAACAUAGAAAACAUAUCUAUAGGGAUAAUUAGAAACAAUAACGCUACACUUGCUUACUAUACCUUUGCUCCGAUGCUUGUGCUUUCUUUGUGCCUUUGUUUGGACAAUAUGUUGGUAUAUCUCUUUGUGCUUGUCAUGCUUCUUUGUUAUGUUCAAAAGGUUUGGGCCUUGAAGAGUCGCCGGGAUGUUUAAACGGGCAAUGUCAUUCUUUAAAAUCAAUAGUUAUUAAUUUAUGGCUUUUAUUUUUAUUUACUUAUUUAUUUAGGUUUGUAAUAUUUCUGUAUAAACACUAUUAUUAUUGUAUAAUAAUUUUGGGGAACUGCCUUGGGGAGUGGGGAUUUACGUGCUCUAUGAAUGGUAUAGAUAGGCACAACUUAGGAUUACGUGCAAUAUGUGUUACAUGAAUCAUUUAGGCACAAAAUGAGAAUUUAUUAACGUAUGAAUCAUUUUCUACAGUUUAUUAAUUAUUCUCGAUCUAACUAAAAUCGACACACCAUAUUAAUUGAUAUUAAGCAUAUUAAUUUAACAUUUGGCAUGUUAAUGUAUUUUAGCAUGUUAAUCAUAUUUACUUGAAUCUAAAUAUAGUACGAAUUCCGAGCACGUUAAUGCGUAUAGCAUGCUAACUUGAAAUUCCCAUGCAUUAACACACGUUUCAACAUGUUUUAAAUAAUAAUUUUCUACACUUUUAGCCUGUCAAAUAAGGGUCAAGUAAGUCAUUGCAUUUUUAGCAUGACAAUACAAUUCAACAUGUUAACAUGAUAGUUUUGACAUACUUUCAGCAUGUGUUAAUAUUAAACAUGUAUUUUUAAAUGCAUUUAGAAUGUUAACAUUGAAUUUCAGCAUAUACAUUAGUGUCCAGCAUGUUAAAAUACUAAUUCUCUAAUUUUUAGCAUGCUUAAUAAUAUUUUCAGCAUGUUUAGUAAUAUUUCAACAUGUUAAAACUAAUUUCAGCAUGUUUAAUAUAAUUUUUAGCAUGUUUAGUAUAACUUUCAGCAUGUUAGCAUAAUUUCCUGCAUUAUCUUCAGCAUGUUGACAUAAUUUCCUGCACUACUUUUAGCACGUUAAAUGUAGAUUUGAGGUAUUCCCAACAUGUUAACUAGUUUAAGUACAUCAUUGCAUCAUACAUUAGUUCAUAACACUCAAUUCGUGAGCAUAAUCUCUUACACAUUUACCGAACUUUGACAUUUCCUUUUAAUCACUCACGAUACAUUGUUGCAUAUGCACGAAUCACAGUUACUUUUUUAUCACACUAAUGAAUGUUGGACACUUAGUAUCAUACCUGUAGGUUAAAAAUAUAAUAAUAAUUACUUGUCUUUGCAUGCUGUCACAUUAAUUAACAUUAAUUAAUCAAGAGUCUAACUUGGGAUUAUUAUGUGCUACUUGUUGUCCAAUGUGUUACGCGCUUCGAGUCCUAGACAACAUAAUUUUAUUUUUGUCUAGAACACAAAUCCAAAAUAGCAAAGUCCAAUGCCUCUUGGACGAUAAGUGGGAUGAUAAGUAUUGCUAAAAGACGUUAGUUUUAUCCUUGUCAUAGAACGACCUUAGACUUGACAUUCAGCUUAGGUAGGGUUGGACGGGUAGUCAUUCAAAAGUGAUGAUCCCAACGGAUAAUUGACGGUAAGAUUAAUGACAUUGUUACUUGUCUAAGAGUUUGACCAGUGAGUCGGACGAUGAUUAAACAAGUUGGGUUCUGAUCCGAAUGAAAUCAAAACAUUUCUUUGUUUGACUUGAACAAUUUCCUUUAGUCUUUUUAUUUACUUUUCAUGUUUAUCUGGGGUAAUUAGUUAUUACAUAACCAGUCCACAUUAUUAUAAUUAUUUUCCUUCUUUUUUCUCGCUUGUCUUGUUUAUAUAUUUUAUCAGUUAGACAAUUAAUAGCUAAAAUAAACGUUUGUUAAUUGCUUUAUCACUUAGCUAAACGUUAUGUUACAAAUAAAAUAAGAUUCUUUAUUUGAUCACAUAGAAUCCCCACGUAAAGUACGAAUUCAGCCGGGAACCACCUUUGUGGACCUCGAAAGGUGCCUAACAUCUUCCUUUUGAGUUAACUUGAAUCCUUACUCAAACUCUGGUGAAUUAAGACUAAACAACAAAAAUAGGUUCAUAGUAGCCUAGAUCGGUGCCCUAACACACCUUAAUACGUUAGGUGGCGAGUCUUCUGACUUUAACUUCAAAACAAUUCCAAAAAGAGUGGUCACCUCGAAUCUUGCUUUUCGUGAGGGAAAUGGGGCAUGACAUACACACAAUUCCGUUUCAUUGAUAAUACAGCUUAGUCGGUGUGCAAAUUCAACAUAUAUGCAUUCAACACACAUACAUGCAUUGUGCAAAUUUCAGAAAUCAGAAAUUUAGUAUGCAAAUUUAAGAAAUCAAAAACCAGAAAUUUAGUGUGUAAAUUCCAGAAAUCAAAAAUCAGAAAUUCAGUGUGCAAAUUCUAGAAACCAAAAAUCAGAUAUUUAGUGUGCAAAUUCCAUAAACUAGAAACUAAUUCUUUUUCAUAUACAUGCAUAUCAUGCCACAACCAUGUUGAUAUUAGAAAAAAAUCAAAUCUGGGAAAUACAUUUUACCACAAAACAAAAAUGUAAUAAUUCAACCCACCUCAACAAAUCUAAUCAACACAAUCACCAAAUACAAGAUUUUUUUACCUUGUUCAAGUUGCUAUAUGUCAUAAGUGCUAGGUUCUUUUUCAAAUUUGGCCAAAUAUAAAUAAAUUAAAAGAAUAAGUCAAAGCUCAAGCAACAAAAAUAUUAAAUAAAUAAUUCUCCAAAAGGUUUUUUUUUAACUUGUUCAAGUUAUUUGAGAGAAUCUAAAUCCUCCUCUAUACUUAUAGGUUAUGAUUCACUUAGAAGCCAAUAUUGUAGAGACACUAGAGCUUAUACCAAUUUAGGAGUUAAUGAACUCCUAAAUGAAUCAAGAAUACACCAAUCGAUACGAAAGCACAUUCUGAUGCUACACUAGAAAUAGGAACAACUAAAAUAUCCUGAGCUAUCUCAGAAAAAAGGGAAAUCUAGCCUAGUUAUAUUUCCACAAAAGUAAUACACUAAAAUUAGAUGUUCCAACUUCAAUAUCUUAUCCAAGAUAUUUAUCCAAUUUUGACUUAGAAUUUCCAGCUGCACUCCCAGAUGUGUGUCUACUCAACUCUUCAUAAAAGACACCAAUACCAACCAUAGAGCUUGAACUAGAAGCCUCUACUUCUGAAGAUAGUUUACCAUCUUUGUCUUUUAAAGCAGAUUGUGAAUACUCUUAAAUAAUGAUUUCAUGUACUAUUGCAUAUCUUUUUCUUUAGUUGGAAUGUUAUCCUCAAAAAUCUUCUUAAGUACAAAAUCAAGAGUGGUAAAUUUGUGAUGAGGAUCCAAAACACAAGGUAUAAAAAACAUCUUAUUCAUUUUUAUUGGAUCCUCCAAAUAUUUUUCAAAUUUCUUCUUCAUUUUUGUUGCCAUUUGAGCCAAUACAUUAUCAUCACUUGAUAUUAAUUUUGUCAAGUAAAAACCAACUUGACAAAUUUCAAGAAAAUGAAUAUUUAAUGUAAUAUACAAUGAUCCAGGUACCUUCAAAGUAAGCUUAAAAAAUAGUGUAAGAAAUUUUUUUAAAAAAUUCACACUAUCCCAAUCACUACUUAAAAGUAUACCUGUAUGUUGUUCAUCCACAAUAUCACUACCACCAUCACACACAGAGAUAUGGCCAAACUUAAGAUGAUGUACCAAAUCAAUAUCAUGAUCAACAUAAUUCAAAAUUGCACCCUCAUAUUCAAUAGCCCCGUUCAACAUCAAGUAGGUGGAAUUUCACCUUGUGGGAACAUAUAAGAAUAAAGACUUAUUUGUAAGAAUUUUAUCUUCACAAUAUUUCUGAAAGUUCUUCCAUCUAGUAGGAGAUUGCCUAAUGUAUCUCAUUGCUUUCCUAAUUCAUUCAAUAAAAACUGUUGUUUCUUUUAUACCAUCCUGAAUGACAAGGUUUAUAAUAUGCUCCAUACACCGAACUUAAAGAUGUUUACCACUAAUAAGAUUGGUCCCCCACUUAGAAAUUGCUUAGACAACUUAACCAUACACACACUAUUUGAACUAGCAUUAUCAACAGUAACUGUGAAAAUCUGAUGCAAUCCCUACUCAUGCAAACACUUAAUAAUGACCUUUGCUAUAUCUUCACCUCUAUGGCUAGAAAUUGGACAAAAAUUGAUAAUUGUUUUAUGAAAAGUCUAAUUUUUAUCAAUCCAAUGAGCAGUAAUACACAUCUAAUUGAUUCUUUACACAUGUAACACCCCACACUUUUGGGCUAGUCUUUGAACCGUCGUUCUUACGUGUAUAAACUAUAAUUCAAAUAAUUUCCAUAUGAAUAUAAGUUUUGUGAUCUUUACUCAUGAUUGAUGUGCUUUAAAGGUAAAAAUAUUCAUAAGAAUCACUUAGAAUAAAGCUGAGCUAAGAGCCUUUGAUUCAUCCAAAAUUUGGUAUUCGAUUCUACAAGGGUCGACUUUGAAUGUGUAUAACUUUUAAUAUAAGUAGAAUUUUGAAGCUCAAUACCCUCCAAAUUAUAAAUAAUUGAGUCAGAUUUCCAAUGAUACCAAUUUUUCCUUAAUCCGAUACCCAACCAAAAAGUUAUGGUAUUUUUUGUGAGAGGUAGCAAGCUAAUGCUAUUAGAGCACGACGCGCCAAUUUCUCAACGUGAUACAUGACAUGACGCGUUGCUCUCCCAACGCGAUGUCUGACGUAAUGCGGAGCUUUUUCACACACUUAUUCAACUUCUUAAGGGUCUAGGGUCACAUUGAUCAUUUUCCCUCACCUAAAUCCGUCCAUAACAAAUAAUUUCAGCCCCCAAGGAGCAUUAGUUUCCCCUUCACUCAUAAUUUAUCUUCAAGAAAGCCUCCCUCUCUCAAGAACAAACCCUAACCUCCAUCCAAAACUUCAAAACUCCAUUGCAAUCUCUUCAAUAUAUACAAGAAUUUAAGUUCUCUAGUUCAAGAGUUUCAAGAUCAUUUCCAAGGGUUUCAAGGUCAAGUUCUCUACGUCAAAUAAAGCCUAUUAAGGUAUGUAGGAGUUCAUCCAUGGGUCCCCUUUCACCCAUGGAGACCAAAAACCCUCUUUUUAACUAAAGAAUGGAUUUUUAUUAUGAAAUUUUGUAUGUUCAAAGAAGAUUAAAUUUCACGUUUGAAUGGUGUUUUUAAUUCAAUUCAGCCCAUGUAUGAUCCCAUGCAAGAUUUGAUUUCCUCAUGGUUUGAAUUUGAGUUUCUCAUGCUUUAUUCAAGUGAAUUCCAUGUUAUAAUGUCAAGUUAUGAUCUUAGCCACAUAAUCAUGUUGAUUUUCCAUGUUUAACAUAUUCCCAUGUUCAAGGUCAUGAUUUCCAUGUGUUUGAUGAAUUGCCCAUGUUUUGGAUUUUGAACUAUGAUUUUCAUACUAUAGUUUUAAGUGUUUAUAUCGUGCUUUAUGGUCAUUAAGUGAUGGUGGAUUAUGAACACUCGAUACCAACGUGUUUUACAUAAUUUUUAGAUUUUCAAGUUUUAUUCAGUUAAACCAUAAUUUAUUCCUAUUUAAUCAGUUAUUAUGAUCAUAAUGAGUACUAUUAGUCAUGAAAUCAUGUUUAAUUAAACUUAUUUCACUUUCAAUCUAGUAUCAGUUUAUACAUUAAUAAUUAUCUCAGAAUUCAUAUGCACUGUUAUUUUCAGAAUACCAUGACCUGAGCUUAUCAGUUAUUAGUUAUCAGUGCAUGCACCUAUUAGUAUUUUAGUGUCUUUAAGUUGGGAGUAGGAUUUAGAAUUGAGUGAACGAAGGGAUAAUGUCUCCCCUAUCAGUUAGGCAUGAGAUAUUAGUAGCAGUCCCUAAGUUUCAGACCUAUGGUGCCACCAUAGAUUUUGAAGGGUCCCCCAUCAGUUAGGCAUGACACCCUCGUCCUUCGGGACAUCAGUUUAGUGAUUGCUACAAUUCAGGUUCUAUUCUGAUGGUAAGGAUAGAACAACCCUCCUCAAUAUGGGUCAGAAGUUGGACUCUAUGAUAGCUCACAUAAUUUAUGUCAGUUAGAUGAUACCUCCCACAGUCUCAGUAUAAUAUUUAAUAUAUUCAGUUCAGGUUUGCUUGACCAAAGCAUACAGAUUUAGAGUUAUUUAGUUAUAUAGAUUUUAGUCUUUAAGAUUAUUAACUUGCUUCAGAUUACAGAUUUAUGCAUGGUCUUGCAUUCUCAGAUAUCAUAAUUUUUAUACAUUUAUGAUUAGUUAUCUCAUGAUGUUCAGUUAGUCCUUAUCUCAUAUGCAUAGUACCCCAUAAUUUCAGUCCAGUUACUUAGAAUAAUUAUAGUUUAACUUUACAUAACCAGUAUACUAUUAUCAGUUAAUAAGUAUAUAGUUAUCAGUUAAUCAGUAUCCAAAUACCAGUUAUUCAGAUGUCAAUUAUUCAGUAUUCAGCUAUCAAUCAUUCUGUUAAUUAGAUCAACUUAGUAUAUGUUAUGUUUGGUUUUAUAUGUUUAUGUAUUUGUGCUCAAUAUACUUGUAUGUUCAGAUCAUUGAGUUGUGUUAGUUUCCAUCAUGUAGUUUUAGACCCAGUAUUUAUAUAGUAUCCAUGUUUUGCUAUUUUCCUGUUUUAGUUCUACUUAUAACUUUUAAGAAACUAAGUGUAGUGAUUCACCAGCUUAUCAGAUUUUGUUUGUUACUCAUGAUUUAAGAUACUUCAAAAUUCAGGAUCUUAGUGAGUCUACUCACACUUGGCAUGCAUAUUUAAGAUUUUCCAUGUGCUAUAUUGUCUCAAAAUGUAGGUACCAGUUAUAGCCUAUGCAUCAUAAUUAGAGAGUUGCAGCUUACAAUCAACAGGUGAUGAGUUCUUCUAUUUUGGGGACUCCAGUCAGAUUUAGUUUGUGUACUGUGUGAUAUUUUUAAUUUUUCAUAUGUAUUGAUAAGUGGUAGUUGGAGGCAUCUCCCAGCUAUCUAUAGUCAGUAUGGUAGAGGCUUCAUAUAUGUCAGUUAGAGUCAGUCAUGUAAUUUCAGUUCUCUCUUCAGUUUUAUCAGAUUGUAAAUUGUAUCAAUAUUAUAAUUCUUCCCAUAUUUUGUCAUGAUUAUCUUUCUGUAAAAAAGAACUAGUUAUUUAAUAUAUUAUUAAUCAGUUGCUUAAUAAUAUGCCAGUUCAUGGGUUAGCUUGGGAUCACUUGUGGUUCUAAGCAUCGUGUUAUGAUUAGGGGAUGGUAUUGGGUCAUGAAAAACUUGGUAUCAGAGCAUAGAGUUCAAGUUUCCUAGGGUGUCUAUGAAGCUGUGUCUAGCAGAGUCUUGUAAAAUGGUACGGAGAUGUCUGUACUUUUCUUCGAAAGGCUAUAGUGUAUUUAGGAAAUAUUUCCCUUAUUUCAAGUCUCAGAUCAUACUAUAGAAAGGUUCUCCAAGAAACUUAUAUAGAUUCUCAUCUUACUCUAUUCAUGCCAUCUCUGCCUUGUUUUCAAGGUAACAGAAAUAAUAAAGCUCAAAUUCCUACAGAUAGAGUUUUCUCAGACAGUCCUCAUAGACAAUUAUGGGAUUGCAUGCAGGCUCAAAAAUAUCCCAUCAUUACCCUUAUGUUAUAAUCUUUGAAAGUGAUCAUUUUUUUUCUGAAAAAUUAUGCACUUAGCCGAAGUUAGAUGUGCUCUCAAGUCCCUUCUCAGAAUCCUAUGAUUGCAUAUGAUCUAGAUUUAGAAGCGUGGAUCCAGAAGUUUAGUAGCAGUAAUGUGGGGAUUGUGUUUGUGUGUAUUUAGUAGAUUAUGUAUCCAUGGGGCUAGUUGCAUGAAAGACGAAUAAGUAGGCUUGAAAUAGUGCAUGCAUAAAUUUAAGGUUGUUGAUCUAAAUUUAAGUAUGAUGAUGUGUUUAUGACCUAGAGGUGUACCCAAGGUGAUAUGGGGUUGUAUUAUUUCUAAGUUUUAAUAGUGUGUGUGCUCAAAUAGUACCCCUGAGUUGUUUUAUGUUAGAAUCUAAGUUUGUAUUCUAGGUGGUUGAGCUAAUAGAAAGAAGAGUUGAAAUUCUUAAUAGUAUGAACUGAGUGUCUGGUGAUACACCUAAAGAUUCUAAGUAAGUAAGUGUUUAAGUUAUUAUAUGAUGACUAUUGGGGCUAUAGAAAGUUAAGAGUUUUAUAUCAGAAGGUAAUACUAGCAUUGGGUUUUACACUCUUAGAUGUAUCAUUCAGGGUAAGUUUGUUAUUUAUGUGUAUUGUUAUAUCUUAGGCUCUAGAAUAAAGUGGUGAUAGCUCAGUUUAGAGUUAUUUAAAAGGGUCCCAUAGACUUAGAAUAAUGGCUUUAAGUUAGAGAGAGAUGAUAAAGUAAGUAACCAAGUCAGGCUCUCAAAUCCUAGUAGUGAUAUCAGUAUGUAUAGAAAAUCAGUAAGGGAGAAUGAUUCCCAGCCUAUUCUUAUCUCAGUAUAAAGUUUUCCAGUCUUCACGACAUCUACUCAUGCCUUACAUGUCAGCUCCAUGAUCAUAGUUUAUGCUCAUGCACAUCAUAGAGAAAUCAUGUACGCUUCCAGAUCCUUGUAUGAUGAGUUCUAGUUCACUUAGUAGUAAGAAUUAUAUUCCAUGUAAUUAUGAACUCCAUGCUCAGGUCAUGCAACUCAUGACUCAUGUACCCAUGCUUUAUAGUAUGUUCAGUUCCAGGUACUCAUGUUAUACUUCUAAUGAUCGAUGAAAUUUAGUUUAUGUCAUGUAUGCCCUUAGUUUAGAUAUCUCUGAUGAAUCUAUGAUAUUGAUACUCUUUUUUUCAGGCCUCAGUAAAGUGUCAACUUAUGCAUAGUAUCCCUUCAUGUUUUAGGUCCUCAUGUUCUAACUUUUCAGUGAUCUUUCCUUAUGUCAUAAUGGUGAUGGUGAUCAGUUGUUUAGAUGGGAGAGUGUAUAUGUUUCAUGUUAGGAAAAAUUAUUGUAUUCUUGUUUGAUCUAAGGUUCUAAGUGUGAGGUAAGAUUGAGGCCAAGUUCUUGAUAUAAGUCAUGGUUAGUUGAAAUUUUGUGUGUAUUUUCUUAGGGAUAGUGAAUGAAAGUUGUUAUUGAUAGAGGUAUUAGACAAUAAGAGAAAGAUGCUUUUGUGGUUGUUUGUCUAGAAGUUCGUGUGUGGUUAUGAAGAUAGGCUUGACUGUCAUGUUGAUGUAUAUGUGGAUGAAUGCAUUGCGCACUAGUGAGUUCAUGGUAAAAAUUUGAAGUUAGUUGUUGAAGUGGGAAUGAGUAUUAUUCUUGAGAUGAGAAGUUAUGAAAAUGCAGGGUGUAUUGAAUUCAUGAUGCAGACUAGUAUUAUACUAUUAUGUGUGCACCUUGUAGAUUUGAGUAGGCUUGAUCAUAGUGAGAGAAUUCAGUUCUGCUCAGUCUUCAGUAGAUAGAGUUAUUAGUUCCCAUGAGAAUAUUUUAAGUAGCCUCAGGUGAAGUGCAGUUUUAAAGUGGAAUGUAUAGUUGAGACUAAGAUUUCAGUAUGAGCUAGUCCGUAUAUCCAGCGAUUCAGUUUAGUAGUCAGACGGAUAAUUUCCUAUGGUUUUCUAUCUUUAUUAUUCAUGAGGUAAGUCAAAUCCAUGAAAAUUUUGAAUUCAUCUCAGUUCAUGCUUAUGCAUCAAUUUUAGAUUCCAAAUAUUCAGUCAUGAUUCAGUCCAUAAGUAUCCCAUGCAUCAUCUCAGUCUUUCUUUAGUAUUUUAGCCAAGUCAGUAUCAUUCAAGGGAUGAAGAAUACCAAGGAGGAUAUGUAAUACCCCGAGUAUUCAUGUCCUAAAUCUUUGAUAUUUUCUUCAUGAAAUAAGAUCCAACUUGAAGUAUACUCAUUAGUUGACUCUCUCGUUCUAUCUCAGCCUUAUAACCAUUCUCAUGUCAUUGCAUGUAUUUAUGAAAUCAUUUUGGUUCAUGUAUCAUGCUCAGACUAAGUUAAUAAGUCAUAUUGAAAGUCAUGCAUGUUCAAAAUACGAUCUCAGUUACCUUCGUACAUUAAGCUCAGUCUAACCAGUCUCAUUCGAGGACGAAUAUUCCCAAGGGUGAGAUAAUGUAAUACCCUGUAUUUUUGGGCUAGUCUUUAAACCAUCGUUCCUACAUGUAUAAACUAUGUGAAUAUAAGUUGUGUAAUCUUUAUCCUCGUGAUUGAUGUGCCUUCGAGGUGAAAAAAUGUUCAUAAGAACCACUUAGAACAAUGUUGAGCUAAGAGCCUUUGAUUCGUCCAAAAUUUGGUAUUCGAUUCUAUAAGGGUCAACUUUGAAAGUGUAUAACUUUAAAUAUAUGUAGAAUUUUGUAGUUCAAGACCCACCAAAUUAUAGAUAAUUGAGUCAGAUUUCCAGCGAUACCAAUUUUGCCUUAAUUCGAUACCCGUGAGAGGCAAUAAGCCAACGUGAUUGGGGUGCGGCACGCCGAUUUCUCGAUGUGAUACUGAACAUGAACAAAUGAAACAUAAGUACAUGACUGACAUUAUUGAGAUUCAUGUUGAUCAUGCAUAUCUGAUGCAUGGUUUUAUGGAUGAGCUGAUACAUGAUGCAUGACUGAGAGUACUGAUAAGCUGAUAACGCAUAUUUGAUGCGUGACUACAUGACUGACCUGAUGCAUGAACAUAUGAUUGAAUAUACAAUGGUAAAUGGAUACCAAUUUUAAAAUGGGAAUCUGAGCAUGAAAAUGGUUUGUUACUGGAAUAUGAACAUGAAUCUAAAAAAGCUUUAAGGAAAGCUAUUACAUUAGGCUGAGUCUGAGUUUGCGGAGAAGAGGUGAGGAUACUUGGUCCGCAUGUCUAAUUAUGCUUCCCAAGUUGCUCGCUCAAUGGACUGACUCUGCCUAACAACUUUGACUAGAGGGACUUCUUUGUUCCUCAAUCUAUGAGUCUGAUUGUCAAGAAUUUUGACAGGAAUCUCUUCAUAAGAGAGGCUGCUCUGAAUGUCUAUGCCCUUAACAGGGAUUAUGACUCCUGGAUCACCUAUGCACUUCUUGAUCAAGGAGACAUGAAAGACUGGAUGGACUGAAGCUAGAUCUGAAGAAAAUUUGAGCUCAUACGCUACCUUGCCGAAGUGGCCCAAAAUUUUGAAGGGACUAACAUAUCGGGGAUUGAGCUUUCCCUUCUUGCCCAAUAUCUUCACUCCCUUCAUUGUAGAGAUCUUUAGAUAAACAUAAUCACCAAUCUCGAACUCGAGAUCCUUCCUGCACACAUCUGUGUAAGACUUCUGUCGGCUCUGAGCAGCCCAAAGUCUUUCUCUAAUCAACUGGACUUUUUCUAAGGCAUCGAAUACUAAGUCAGGACCUAUAACUGAGGCCUCACUAACUUUGAACCAACCGUCUAAAGAUAUACAUAUCCUACCAUAGAGAGCUUUGAAUUGAGCUAUUCGAAUACUAGAAUGAUAGCUGUUGUUGUAUACAAACUCAAUCAAAGGCAAAUGGUUAUCCCAACUCCCCUUGAAAUCAAUUGCACAUGCUUGCAGCAUAUCUUCUAAAGUCUUGAUGGUCCUUUCUGCUUGAUCAUCUGUCUGAGGAUGAAAGGCUAUACUGAGAUGAACUCGGGUACCAAGACCCUUUUGGAACACUUUUCGGAAAUGAACGGUGAACUGGGUACCUCUAUUUGAGACAAUAGCUAAUGGAACACCGUCCAAUCUAACCAACUCCUUGAUAUAGAGUUUGGCGUUACCCUCAGUUUAAUAGGAGGUAUGGACUGGAAGGAAAUAAGCUAAUUUGCUCAUUUUGUCUACAAGGACCCAAACUGAAUCAUGCUGAUGACGAGUACAAGGAAAACCCAUCACAAAGGCAUUUUAUCAAAUACAUGGGGAGCAUACUUUGGUUAUACCAUCAUCAAUGCAUUUAAUUAUCAUGCUUGCAUAAAUCAAUUUGCAAUUUGAAGGGUUUAUGUCGAAUAUUAUGCAAAUUAUCACGUACUAGGAUCAAUCAUUGGAAUAUGUACUUUAAAACAUGAAUCAAAACCCAACAACAACAUAUAUAUAAAUUUUAAUUCAACUAAAUCAUGAACAUUCAUAAAUACACAAAUAUUUGGAUCUUUGAAAAGAGAUUCUUAAGCUUCAUGGGUGAAAGGGACCCAUGAAUCAACAUUUCACAUACCUUAAAACAUAAUUCCUUAAAGGUUCUUGGAUAAAUUCUUGAGCUUGACCUUGAUUAUUGAGAUCUAGGGUUUUGUUUCUUGGGAGAGAAUAUUCUUGAUUUGGGGAAAAAGUGAGUAAAUAAUAAUUUAAAACAUUUUUAGGGAUUAAAUCUGCACCUGGAUGUGUUAAAACCUUAGGGAAAAGACCAAUUUAUCCCUGGAAGAAAUGUUUAAUUUUCGUCAAAAUUUUUGACUUAUCAGGAUGGUGCGACGCGGCGCUAUCGCACUGUGUCUCUGGAAAAUGACAACUAGGAAAUUUAUGGUGGUGCGACAUGGUGAAAUCACGUUGCAAUACUGGAUGGGACCUAGAAGUUCACCGCGAUGAGGUGGUAUCGCGCUAAGACACUGGAAAAAGGACAAUUCUAAAUUUGAGCCUUGGCGCGAUGUGCCAUAAUCGCGGAGGCUCACUGGAUUUUGAUGAUUUCCAUUUUGGCAUGCUCCGUGAUGCAUUGAUGGCUCAGGUAGAACACUAUUUUACUAAAAUGACUCUAACUCUUCGCUUGGGUGUCAGAUUUGGACGAAUUUAGUAUCGAUGGAAAGCUUAUUCAAUUUUUCACAUAACAAAAGUCAAACUCUUGAAAAUUCCACAUGUAUAAAAGUGGAUUCAUCUUUUAAAGUAAGUAUUUAAUAUUUUUUAGUUGAAUUUAAGAUAGGUAGAAGUUCGGGGUAUUACAAUAAUAUGCAGUCACUUUUGAAAUAGGUUUUCUAGACAUAAGAAUACCUUGUCCAGAUUCAGAUUUAAUGUACCUUAUAACUCUCAAAGCUGCUUCCAUAUUAGAUUUCUUGGGUUGUUGUAGAUACUGACUUAGUGUUUGAACAUUAUAAGUAAUGUCAGGCCUAAUUACUAUUAGGUACAAGAGUUUUCCUCGUUGUUGCAUAGAUCAGGUUGGAGCAAGGUGCCAUCGAACAUUCAAUAGGAAGCAUCACGAUCGGGCACUCAUGCCCUGACCUAUGUACCAUACUCUUUUUGUACCGCGGAAAGGGGGUCCUCCUUGUGAUGGUUUUUGUUAGGAGCUUACAUCAGUCAGUAGUGGAUCUUUUUCUGUAUUGCAGCCCGAGUGCUCAUCAUAUUCCUUUAUAGUCAGUUUGAUAUUUGUGUCUAUAGAGGUAGUAAUAGGUUUUAAUCUUACUAGUCCAAGAUCAAACAUUAGUUUAAAAAGUACUUUCUCUGAUUCAUCAGAAUUCCUUCUUUGGAUUUGGCAAAUUUAAUUCCAAGGAAGUAUUUUAGUUCUUCAAGCUCCUUCAUCUUGAACAAUUAUUGCAGUUCCUGCUUUGUUUCUUCAAUUAGAAUUAGACUCUCUUUUGUAACCAACAUAUCAUCUACAUAGAUGAGUAUCAUAACAGUUCCAUGCUCAGACCAUACACAUAUAGAGAAAUUGAUCAUACUGGCUUUGUUUGAAGUUAAGACUUAGUAGUGCUUUAGAUAGUUUGGCAUUCAAUUAUUUUAGAGUUGUUUCAUCCCAUAUAAGGAUUUAAUGAGCCUACAAAUAGGUUUGUGACCUGGUUUGUGCUCCCCACUUCUCAGAAAUCCCUGUGGAAGUUUCAUGUAGAUCUCAUAAGUGAGACCACCUUGCAAAAAAGUAUUAUACACAUCUAUUUAGUGGAUGUGCCACUGCCUUGAUGUAACUAAGGCUAGUACUAUUCUAACUAUGACUAUCUUGAUUAUAUGAGAAAAGGUUUCCUGAUAGUCAAUACCUUUUUGUUGGCUACAACCCUUGGCUACAAGCCUGGCCUUGAACCUUUCUAUUUCUUGAUAACUUGUACUUGAUCUUGAAUAUCCACUUACAACCAAUAGUUCUCUUUUCUUUAGGUAGACUGACUACAUCCCAAGUAUGAUUGCUUUGUAGUGCAGAGAUGUUAGCUUGCAUUAACUCAAUCUAUUUAGGAUCUUUGAUAGCUUCUGAGUAAGAUUUAAGUUCUGUAAUAGCAAAACAAGCACAUAAGUAAUCUUUGUAGCGAGUAGCUAAUUUAUCAUAUGGCAAGUAAUUAGAGAUAGGAUAGAGUGUAUCUUAUUUUUAAGUCAAAGACAAAGUAUUUGAGCCAAAUAGGUGGUUGUUUGGUCCUUUCUGUUCGACUAGAUAGUAUUGGAUCAUGAUUAGUACUCUCUUGUUGUGCAUGAUAAUCAGUAGAUUCUUGAGGCUCUUGCAUUUUGUGGUACUAGAUCAACUUGGUUAGGUACCUGUUCAUUUCUAGUAACUACAAAAGGUAGGUUAGUAGAUGACUUAUCAGUGUAAUAGUAUAAGACAGGAUUUGUGGAUUGAAAUAAAGGUGAUUCUGCACUAUUAUUCAUAAAAAGAAAGACAUCUUACUUAAAUACUACAUCUCUAUUCACAAAGAAUGACUUAGUGAUUAUAUCAUAUAAUAGGUAACUUUUUUAAACCUUAGAGUAUCCCCUGAAUAUAGCAGGUUUAGUUCUAGGACCUAGUUUAUCAAACUGUUGGUCAAUCUUUGCAUGACUUAGGCAUCCUAAAACUCUCAUGUGAGGUAAAGAAGGUUUUUUGUUGUAUAGUUUUUCAAAAAGUGACUUUUCUAUUACUGAUGAUUGGAGUCUAUUAAUGAUAUAGACAACAGUUAAAACACAAUAUCCCCAGAAUUUGAUUGGAAUGUGAGCUUGAAACCUAAGUGCUCUUAUCACUUCUAAGAUGUGUUUGUGUUUUCUCUCAGCUACCCCAUUUUGUCAAGCAGAAUAUGCACAUGACCUUUGGUGAAUUAUACCCAAGCUCUUAAAGAGAUUAGUGCAUAUAUCAUUCACAAAUUCAGUUUCAUUGUCUGUUCUACAAAUUUUAAUAGUUUUAGUGAAUUGAAUUUGAACAUAUAUAAGGAACUGUUUAAUAGUCUCACAAGCAUCAGAUUUCAACUUUAACAGAAAUAUCCAAUUCAUUCUAUUAAAAUCAUCCAUAAUAGUCAAGAAAUAUUUUUUACCAUCAAUUGUAGGAGUUUUAUAAGGACCCUACAUAUCCGUCUAAUCAUAUCAAAUGCGCUAGUACUUUUAGUACUACUAGAGGGAAAUGAAAAUCUGACUUGUUAGCACCAGGACACACUGAAUAUUUGUCUAUGAUUUUAGUUAUAGAUUCAAACUUGCUAGUUAGUAGUUUAGUAAGUACAAUAGGUGUUACUUGACCAAAUCUCUUAUUCCGAAGAUCUAUUUCCAAGUCAGACAUAUGGAUAUACUCCUUUGUGUUAUUAGCAGCUAGCUUGGUUUCAUCAGUAGUAGAUCCAGAGUUUUUAUCGAGCAGAUAUAAGACUUUUUCUAGUUUACCAAUAUCCUUCACCUUCCACUUGAUAGAUCCUAAAAAAUACAAAAGUCAGGAUAAAAUAAAACACCACAGUGUAGCUUUCUUGUGGCUUUAGCUACAGACAUUAAGUUGUUUUUGACCUGUGGAAGUAAGUAAACAUUUUCUAGCCUACUUUUAUCAGAAAUAGUGCUUGAACUAUUGUGUGUGACUAGUGAAACAUCUCUAUUUGAAAGGUGUACAAUUUUAGGAUGAGUUUGUUCAGUAAUGGAGUCUUUGUGAAGCAUAUUUACAUUAGACACUAUGUAAUUAGUGGAUCCAAUAUCUAUAAUCCAGUCAGUAUUAUUGUUACAGACUAGGCAUACACUUCUUAUACCUGAACCUUUGAUGUUACUUGAUGUGUCAACGACAUUGGUCAUAUUAGAACUAGCUUGAGAGGAAGAGCUCUUGUGUAGCACCUACAAAAUUUGAUCAUAUUGAUCCUUAGUGAAUACACAUGCUCCAGGUUGCAUCUGUAUACUUUAUUUAUGAUGACCUCUUGAAUCAUAUUCUUGCCUCUAUUUUCUUUGAUAUAGAAUUAUAACAUUAGCAACAACAUGUGAAUCUUUUCCCUAACUAUACGAUGGAUCAAACACCUGAUCAGUUUGUACAUUGAAGAUUCCUGUAUUAUUGUUAUCAGUAUUGAACCCUCUCUAAUUAAAACCUAUAUGACCACUACUUAGUCCUUCUAUAAACUUUCACUUCUUGUAGUUUGGUGGAUACACCCCCAGUUUGUAACAAUAUUUUUUCACAUGCCCCUUAGUUUACAGUAGUCAAACUACAGUUGUAGUCUUUCUUGAGUUUCUGCAAGCCUGAUAUAUUCUUGGAGUAGAGUGCAGAAGUCUCAUAAUGAGAUUCAAUUGAUGAGGGUCCAAUAACUAAUAAUCCAAUAGAAAAAUUAAUAAUAAACUUCUAUCCUUCAUCAUUCAAGAUCAUUGCAUAGGCCUGAUUCUCAGUUGGUAGAGGAGUCAUCAACAAAAUUUGGCUUCUUACUUAUUGGUAGGUAUCAUUGAGCCCCAUCAAGAAUUGAUAGAGUUUUUGUCUCUUUAAGUAAGUCACAAAAUCCCUCGACCUAACACACUCACAAGUAGGGGGUGGAACUAAAGAUUCUAGUUCAUUCCACAAGCCUUUCGAGUUUGGUAAAGUAUACUGACACAAAUGAAGUGCUUUGUGUUAAAGAUUUGAUCUAUUUGUGCAGAUUAAAAGUUCUUGAACCAUUUAAUCUAUCAAAUCUUUCUGUCAAAUCAUCCCAAACAGCAUAUGCAUUAAAAUAAUAAACCACACAACUCAAUAAGCUAUUUGAGACAGAGUUCAUUAACCAAGACAACACAAUUGCAUUGACCCUUUCCCAUUGCCCCUAUAGUUCUUCCCCAAACAUUUCUUUAUUACAUGAGCCAUAUACCAAGCCUAAUUUAUUCCUUCUUAAUAAGGCUAUUCACAUGGAUCAACUCUAAACUGAGUAAUUCUCAGUACCAAUUAACUAAAUAGAGAUGAGGGAAACUUUAUUUACAUCAGAUGCAUGCAAGAAGAGACGGUGCUUUGAAUCUAUUCCCUGUGUUGCUUGUGAACUAGUUCUAACAUUUCUUGGUGCAGGAAAUUUUUCUUGCAUUUCUAUUAUUAGAGCUUGACAACUUCUUGAUGAAUCUUGAGCUUAUCAAUAGCCGAGAUACUACAAUCUCAGAGAUAACUGCUCUGAGUAUGAACAGAUUAUGAACCAGAACAUCAAAGAUAAGAUGAGCGAGUUUCGUUAUUAGAAUCUCCUCUUGCUCUGAAAUCAUGAACUGAAUCAGUUCAUCAAUGAUGAACUUACAGAUUUUGAGAAGACGAAGAUAAAGAAGAACAAGAGUAGUUUAACUAUUGAAUAAUAAUGAUGUGUUUACAUGAAGAGAUAGUACUCCUAUUUUUAGACUUAGUAGUUAGUUCAUAGUUAACUAACUUAUAUGUUCUUAACUACCUUCUUAACUAACCUAACUAACUUCCGGAACUUUCCUAACAACACCAAUGUGGUACAUGUAGAGUAAGAGAAGCUAAGUAACAUUCCUUCCAUCAACAGAUACAAACCUUGUAAUUAAGUAGUUACCUUUUUGUCAUGGAGAAAAGUCUAAAGUAUUAACAUCAUAUGUAAAUAUUAUCCUCUCAUGAAUUAUGUUAAAAUUUCAUGAUCUAAAAUAUUUUUGCAUAUAAACAUCUUGCCAAUUAUAUAUGUUUACCAGUUUUCUUUGUGGUAAUGAGAUUUAACAAUAAAAAAAUAUACAUCAUAAUAAAAGAAAAUUCACCUAUACAGACUGUUAAGUUUUGGAAAGACAAAUCGAACUGAUCACCCUUGCAAUAUGGUUUUCCAUUAACGUGCACUGUUUAAAGUUAUUGUAUUAUUCCCAAUUUAUUUAGCAUACUCCAUCCAUUUCAUUUUAUGUGCUGUCAUUUUGUUUUUGUCUGUCCAAAAACAAAGUCAUCUUUUCUUAUUUGGUUACUACUUAAAGACACAAUUUCAUUUUUAUCCUUAUUGGUCCCACAUAUUGUAAUGCCCCGCAAAAUCCUCUUCCAGUCUGAGCCUUAGAGCGUAUUUGGUAAAGCAAAAAAUCUGAGUCUAAAUGUUUAAUAAAUAUCUUCCCAUGUAUGAAAUACUUUGAAUUGUGUGGGAAUCUAUUUUAGCAUAAAUUAAGAUCAUAGAGGUCCCCUAACUCAAGGACGAGUUUAAAGCUUUUCUAUCGUUCAAGUUUUAGUGAGCAUCAAAACUUUGGUCAACUUGACUCAACCAUAACUCUUUGUAUAUAUCGAAGUAGAGGACCUACUAUAUAUUAAAUUAAAUCUCUUUGAAUUAUAUUUCCAACGAUACUAAUUUUGUCAAAAACCGAUAUCGGAGCAAAGAGUUAUGCCCAUUUUACUCCAGCAUGUCAGACUGAAAAACUGAGUGAAAACAUUCGUGAUAAGCUGUCACGAGCGUGACGACCUAUCACCAAUGUCGUCAUCCCUGGGCAGAUUUCUACCUCUGGUGACGACAUUUUGUGAAAAUCCAUCAUUCCCGUGACGUCUUAUCACCAAUGUCGUCAACCUUAACCAGAAACUCAAAAUUUUACACUUUUGUGACGACAUUUCAUAAAGACUUAUGACCAACUUGACGGCUUGUCACAGAUGUCGUCAACUAUUUUUUCAGCAAUUCAAGGACAUUUUUACAAGGGUAUUUUGAUCUUUUCUUAUCUUUUGGAGGUCUCUAUAAAUAUGAGGAACCCCAUCCAAAUCCUAAUUUCAUCAUUUACUCUUCCAAUUCUCUCAAGAGAAAAUAUCUAUGGUUUCAAUUCAAGAACCCUAAUCUUCUAAAAAUUCAUCCAUAAAUCUUCAAGAUUUCUUUAAGAAUCAAGUACCUCAUAGUGUGGGCUUCGAGAAUCAUUUAUUACUAGUGCGGAUAGAGUCUUAAGAAUUAGAAUUCAUCCAAUUUCAAAGAUUAAGGUAUGCAGAUAUUGAUUCUUGGGUUCCUUUCAUCCAAGAAGCUCAAGAACCCUUUUUAAAACUCAAAGAUUUUUUAUGUUUAUGAGUUGUUAAUGAUUUGUAUGAGUGAUGUUGAUGUUCAAUGUGUUUUUGAGUUUUGAUUUAUGUUUGUUUACAAGAUUUAUGAGCUUUGACCCUAGUAUGUGGAACUCAUGUGAUGUUUGUGAUAGACCCUCUUAAAGUUGUUUUCUAUGUGAUAUGUUCAUGACUUUUGGGUGUAGAAAUGAUUGAAUAAGUGAAACAUGUCCCCCAUAGGUUUGAUAAAGAGCUUAGGUGAAGCAUAAGGGCCAUUAUAGUAUGUUGAAUAGGAAACCCCAAAUUGUCUAGUCCAUGCAUGCCUAGUGUUUGAUAAAAUGCCUUAGCAAAUGAAUUGUGCCACAAUAGUAUGGAAAUUCUCAAAUAAGUGUGAACCCGUGCAUGUCUAGUGUUUUGUUGAAGGACCUUAGUGAAUAAGUGGGGAUGAGAUAGUAGUAAAUUCCCCAAUUAUAUGCUCUUUGAUAUAUGCUAAGAUUUUAAUACAUGUCAAGUGGUUAGCAAGUAAGUUGUGAAAUGAUAGUAUGAAGUUUUCCAAAAUCAUGUGAUAUCCAAACACAUGUCAAGACUGAUAUAGGUAUGAAAUAGUUGAGGUAAAACCUUGUUGAAUAGAGUACGAUCUAGUAGCAUAUUUCCCCUACGUUAUUAUAUGAUUAUGAUUUUGAGAUGCCUAAAGUGAAGCAACUGUGAUGAUGAAUAAACAUUUGUGAUCCUUAAAUGCUUGAGGUGAUGUCUUAAUGAUUAUGGGAAUGAACAUAUGACAUGAUUCUUAAUUACUUGUGAAGAUGCUUUAAUGCUUGUAAUGAUUAACGAAUGCUUGUGAUGAUGAAUGAAUAAUUGUGGUGAUGACUAGUCAAGAAUGAUUAUGCUUUAGUUUUAUGUUAUCGAGUCCUGGGGUAUUUAUACCCGAUAAUAGAGCUGUUGUCUAAAGUCCGUGCCAAUUUUUCAAUAAUGCCAGUCGAGUCAUGAUUCUCAGAACUCAGUGAACUAUAGAACUCUGUAUCCCCAGACAAGUGCAGAACUUAAGAAAGCUCAGUAAUCUCAGUUAUCUCUGUAGUCUCUGUAUCACUAGUAAUCUAGCCUCAGUCCUGUAAUCAGCUCAGAUCUAAUAGUAUUCAAGUGAUUCAAUUCUAAUCUCAGAAGCGAUUCGAGUAAUCUAUUCAAGAUCUAUAUCGUCAGUUAGAUACCAUGAUUCGAUACCUUUUUCGUCAGAUAUGGAACUAAGUAAUCUCAAUGUAACUCAGUCAGAUCUUUUGAGAAACAUGAUCAGUAUCAGAUUCAGUUUAGUUAUGUUCAGUUAAUAUUUCAGUUUAGAGUUUUUCAGUUGGGAGUAGGAGCUAGCACCAAGCGAGGGAAGGAAUGACGGCUCCCCGUCAGAGAGGCCGAGUCGUUAGGAGCAAUUCCUGAACUCUAGAACUGCAUAGCUAGCGCAAGAUGCAAGAGUCCCCGUCAGUAGAGGCUGUCACCGUCAAAGAGGUUUGACUAUUAUAUUGCCUCAGGCCGACUUUCUGCCAGGGUCACCCGUCAAAGAGGCUUGACCAGAGAGGUCUUUACCCGUGGCACGGUAUUGACACCCUUCCAGUUGGGGUUACAGUUUGGACCCCACUUGUGGUAGGAUGGGGCAUGUUGAUUAAGUAACUAUUUCCCACAGUUGCAGUUCCAGUAUCAAUCUUCAGAAAUUAGGACUGUGUGGUAUAGUCGUCUAUCUCAUUGAGUAACUCAGAUAGUUCCAUUGAUUCAUGAAUCAUCCCAUCAGAUAGGCUUGGUAUCAUAUACAGAUUCUCAUUAUCAUAUCUAGAGAUCUCUCAUCAAAGAGGCUUGAUCUCAGUCUCAGACCAUGUUGAGUAUUCUUAUUAUCAUAUCUAGAGAUCUCCCGUCAGAUAGGCUUGAUCUCUAUCUUAGAUUCUGUUGAGUAUUCUUGUUGUCAGAUUUAGACAUGACCAUACUUCUUAUCAUUGAUAAUCGCUCCUGGAAUAAUUUGAUAGAAAAGUUGAUCUCUAAUUUUGUCAGUCGAAAGCAGUAAGCUCAGAAUUCAGUCCUUGAUGUAAGUAUAUCCAGAUUCUCAGUCAUCAGUAUCAGAUGAGUCAGUGAUUCAGUAUCUCAGUAUCAGUAGUAAGUUCAGUCUGCAGUAAAGUGAUAUCUGAGUUUCAGUAUCUAGAGUUGCGAUGAUUGUGUUCAUGGUUUGUGCAUUAGUAUAUGUGUUCUCAUGCGGAAUCUUCAUGAUUAUUCAGUUUAGAUAUUGUGCAUGCAUGAGCCCUUGCAUUAGCCUACAUCGUCUACAUACUCGAUACAUUCCUGUACUGAUGUAUUUACUCUAUGCUGUUUUAUUUGACACCAUAGGUUCAGAGGCACAAGAUCCAGAGUAUCCUUAGCAGUUCAAUCCCAGUCAAUAGCAGUAGCAGUGAGUCCUCUUCUUUCGAGGAAGAAUCUCAGUUUAUUAUUAUUGCUUCAAACUUUGUUUAUUUUUAGUUGACGGAGUUUGUUGGGUACCUAUCCCAUCAACUCCACAGUCCAGAUAGUUUAAAGGAUUUUGAGAUGGAUGUAUUAGUAUUUAAUUUUCUGUAUUAUGAGUAUUCAUGGAUGUGUUGAACCUUAUGGCUAGGUUCCAUAUUUAUUUCAGAUAUUAUGCAGUGUACAGGUACAGAUAUCAGUAAAGGGUUAGCUUGUGGUCCUUCGGGGUCAUAGACAUCGUGUGACGUCUCGGGAUGGGAUCUCGGGGCGUUACACAUAUAAGGUCUCUCUUAAUUAAGAAUACUAGUAGUACAUUUUUUAAUAAAGGACAAUUUGAUAAAAAUCAUCAAGUCUUUUCUUAUUUAUUAAAUUCUAUGCUCGAUCAAAUUAUGACACACAAAAUAGAACAGAGGGAAUAUUUUAUUUUUCAUCCCGGUUAAAAAUGACCAUAGAAACACAUAUAACAUAUUUUCGAUUAUGUAACGCACCGAGAACCUAUCUCGAGCCAUCACAUGGUGCUCAAGGCCACACGUGGCCUCAAGCUAACUCUCUAAUCCUGUCAUCACCUUCAGAACUCUCUACGACAUGAAUCAUCAUAAAGUAGGGAAGAAUCAUCAUGACAUGAACAUACUGAGAUACAAAGUAAUACAUUUCUGUACAAAAAAAAUACUGAAAUCUCUGUAUAUGCUGGAACACUAGUCUUACAAAGCCUCUACUUCAUAGGACUGAUGAGCCAUUGGGACAGAUCCCCAACUGACUCGUACUGAACUGAAAGUAAACAACCAUCUAUUAAUAAGAUAAAAUCGAAGACACAGGUCCUCGAACCAUGAGGACUCACCAACCAUAGAAAUAUAGAUGAAGGUACUCAAAGAUCACUGUUGCUGCUGAAAUUGAGCACCUGAACCUAUAUCAUGAGAAAAUAUAGAAUACAAAAGAGAAUGGGAGUCAGUACUUGGGAAUGUACUUUGUAUGUGGGAGUGGAUGCAAUAUUUUAAAUAAUAUCAUAAAUGUAUAAGAAAAUCAUGCAUGCUGACAAUAUAACUCUCUUCACUUGAAUUAUCUAAAACAUCAUUUCCGUAAGUCAUCAGUAAUAACAUAUGCUUCAUAAAUGUCAUAAAUCAUUUAACUCAACUCAAAAUCUUUGAAUCAUGACUUAGAGUAACUCGGUAUCUCAUGGUACUUAGGUCAUUAUGGACGUGGGAGUUUCUUAUAACCGACAUAACUACACCAUGUGAACCACAUGAAGUCCAACAUUUUUCCCUCCUAAGGAGAGAACCCCACAUUGGCGGGGGUGUUGUACUCUUUCCAGGGAGUACAACCUCAAUCUCGUUAUCACAAUCCCAUACUUGGCCUCUGUCCCAUAAUUAUCAACAUCAAUCCUACGGUGGCACGUAGUUUUGGGAAAAUACCAAAUUUCCUGCUCGGUGCUAAAUACUCCUCCCAGACUCAGCUCAGAACGCGUUAGAAAAUCUACCUUAAUCAAUAUCAGCUCAUGGGUCUAUCAUAGAGACCAAAACAUAAAUAUAUCUCAUGUGUAAAUCAUGAAAAACUGUGGAUUCCUAACUCGACUCAAAAUUAAAAGAAUUUUUCUCAACAUCAAGUACAUUUGCUUUUUGAAUCAUUUCAAAUAUCAAAAGCUUCAAGGAAACAUCAUAGGACUCAGUCUUGUCUUUCAAUCUCAAAUAUCGAUAUAUAUUCAAUAGUCAAAUUUCUCAUGGAAAGGCAUAACUAAUGACACUUGUCUUAAAUCGCUUAGAAAUAAACAAUACGUAAUGACAAUAUACAACUCAAGGAAUAAAUUCUCAAUUAAAGAAACAUGAUGGUGAAAUAAUCAUAAAUAUCAAACUUAUUCAACUCAAAUCUCAAAAAUCAUAAAUAAAGAAAUUUGGGUUUAAAUCCACUUGCAAAAUCAUGUAAAUCAGUAAUAGAAAGUAAAUCUUUAUGCACAAGAACGAAAGGAGUGUUCUUGUUAAAACCCCACAUACUUUGGAUUAUGAUUUUGGAGAUGUAGAAACUUGAUAUAAACUUAUUUAUAGCAUUCUUGAGCUAAAUUUCUUGAUGCCUUUAAUUAGGAAAGGUUGAUUCUUGGAUCACUUUGAAUCUCUAUGGAAGAUUCUUGAAUUUUCUUAGAAGAAGAUUGAAUGUUUGGGUUUUGGAAGAAACCCUGAUUUCUAGAUGUUUCUUGGUAGAGGAAAGGAGAAAAUGAAGGGCUAUUCUCUACUAGGAUAUAUAUAUAAGACCUUAUGGGGCGGAAAUAACCAAAAUUUCCUUUUGAAAAAGUUGAAAUUCGCUGAUCGGGGCCUGUGACGGUUGAUCUGACGGUCCGCAAGUCUCCUGACAGUCCACCAGAUCGUCCAUCACUCGAGUACCAAAACUAAAAUAUUCUGCCUCGAUGUGACGAUCGAAGUGAAGAUCCAUCAGGAAACUAACAGACCACCAUGUCAUUCGUUACUCGAGGGCCAGAAAUGAGACAUUCUGUCUCGACCUAACGGAUCCUUUGACGGUCCGUUAACUCUUUGACGGUCCACCAACUUGGCCGUCGCAUGAUGGCCUAAAAAAGGAGUCACUGCCUUGGCUUAAAGGGGCACUUGACGGUCCACCAGAGAUCUCUGCCAGGUCAACCGUCAAACCUGGGCGAUCCGAUAUCGUUCAGUAAAAUGGCCAUAACUCCCUCGCCUGAUGUCAGAUUCCAAUAAAAUUAGGACACCGUCUCACCUAAAGGAUCAAUGGGUUGAGUUCAUUUGUUAUUUCUGUGAGCUCUACGAGGAGGUAUUUUCUGUCAUAAGAAAGGACGAAUUAACAACAAAGAAAAAUAGUCAUAAACACGAUAGACUCUUGAAAUAAAGAAAUAACUUUUCCUAAUACGUUCCGUAGCCUCUUGCUUAUAGAUAUGGCGCACUACACACCGAUGAUCAAGACUCUACGUAAUGCGGCUUGUCAGACUCCCUAGGACUCCUUGAACCUUAGGCACUCUGAUACCAAGCUUGUAAUGCCCCGAGAACCUAUCUCGAGACAUCACAUGGUUCUCAAGGCCAUGUGGCUAACCCUCUAAGCCUGUCAUCACCUUCAGAACUCUCUACGAUAUGAAUCAUUAUAAAGUAGGGAAGAAUUAUCAUGACAUGAACAUACUGAGAUACGAAGUAAUACGGUUCUGUACAAAUAAAUUACUAAAAUCUCUGUACAUGCUAGCACACUAGUUUGACAAAGCCUCUACUUCAUAGGACUAAUGAGCCAUUGGGACAGAUCCCUAACUGGCUCGUACUGAACUGAAAGUAAACAAUGAUCUAUUAACAAGAUAAAAUCAGAGACACAGGUCCUCGAACCAUGAGGACUCACCAACCGCAGAAAUGUAGAUGAAGGUACUCAAAGAUCACCGUCGUUGCUGAAACUGAGCACCUAAACCAAUAUCAUGAGGAAAUAUAGAAUAUAAAAGAGUAUAGGAGUCAGUACUUGGGAAUGUACUGAGUAUGUGGGGGUGGAUGCAACAUUUUAAAUAAUAUCAUAAAUGUAUAAAAAAAUCAUGCAUGCUGACAAUAAUAACUCUCUUCGCUUGAAUUAUCCAAAACAUCAUUUUCGUAAGUCAUCAGCAAUAACAUAUGCUUCAUAAAUCUCAUAAACCAUUUAACUCAAUUCAAACUUUUGACUCAUGACUUAGAGUGACUUGGUAUCUCAUGGUACUUAGAUAAUUAUGGACAUGGGAGUUUCUUAUAACUGACAUAACUAUACCAUGUGAGCCGCAUGGAGUCCAAUAUUUUACCUUCCUAAGGAGAGAACCCCACAUUGGCGGGGGUGUUAUACUCUUUCCAGGGAGUAUAACCUCAAUCUCAUUAUCACAAUCCCAUACUCGGCCUAUGGCCCACAAUUAUCAAUAUCAAUCCUAUAGUGGCACGUAGUUUUGGGAAAAUACCACAUUUCUCGCUCGGUGCUAAAUACUCCUCCCAGACUCAGCUCAGAAUGUGUUAGGAAAUCCACCUUAAUCAAUAUCAGCUCAUGGGUCUAUCAUAGAGACCAAAACAUAAAUAUAUCUCAUUUGUAAAUCAUGAACAACUGUGGAUUCCUAACUCGACUCAAACUCAAAAGAAUUUUUCUCAACAUCAAGUACAUUUGCUUUUCAAAUCAUUUUCAAAUAUCAAAAGCUUCAAGGAAACAUCAUAGGACUCAUUCUUGUCUUUCAAUCUCAAAUAUCGAUAUAUAUUCAAUAGUCAAAUUUCUCAUGGAAAGGCAUAACUCAUGACACUUGUCUUAAAUCGCUUAGAAAUCAUCAAUACGUAAUGACAAUAUACAACUCAUGGAAUAAAUUCUCAUUCCUGCAUCCUUUACUGCACCAAUACGUCUGGUUUGAAGUUGGUUUGGGUAAGGGGAUUGACAUAUAUAAAGAAAUUUGGGUGUAAAUCCACUUGCAAAAUCAUGUAAAUCAGUAAUAGAAAGUAAAUCUUUAGGCACAAGAAUGAAAGGAGUGUUCUUGUUCAAACCCCACAUACCUUAGAUUAUGAUUUUAGAGAUGUAAAAACUUGAUAUAAACAUUUUUAUAGCAUUCUUGAGCUAAAUUUUUUGAUUCCUUUAAUUAGGAAAGCUUGAUUCUUGGAUCACUUUGAAUCUCUAUAGAAGAUUCUUGAAUUUUCUUGGAAAAAGAUUGAAUUUUUGGGUUCUGGAAGAAACCCUGAUUUCUAGAUGUUUCUUGGUAAAGGAAAGGAGAAAAUGAAGGGCUAUUCUCUACUAGGAUAUAUAUAUAAGACCUUAUGGAGGGGGCGUAAAUGACUAAAAUGCCCUUUUGAAAAAGUUGAAAUUCACUGAUCGGGGCCUAUGACGGUCCGUCAAGUCUCCUGACGGUCCACCAGAUCUCCUUCACUCGAGUACCAAAACUGGAACAUUCUGCCUCGACGCGACGGUCGAAGUGAUGGUCCAUCAGGAAACUGACGGACCACCAAGUCGUUCGUCACUCGAGGGCCAGAAACGAGACAUUUUGUCUCGACCUGACGGACCCCUUGACGGUCCUUCAACUCUUUAACGGUCCAUCAACUUGGCCGUCGCACGAUGGCAUGAAAAAGGAGUCACUGCCUUGGCUUGGCGGGGCACUUGACGGUCCACCAGGGAUCUCUGCCAAGUCGACCGUCAAACCUGGGCGAUCCGAUACUGUUUAGUAAAACGACCAUAACUCCCUCGUCCGAUGUCAGAUUCCAAUGAAAUUGGUACAAUGGAAAGCUUAUUCAAUGCUCUACACGAUAAAAUUAGAAAUUAGAGAAAUACAACAUGGUUUAAACAUAAAUCACUUUGAAAGUCAUACAUAUCCACUCAAAAGACGGAUUUAGACUUAAGAAACGAUCGAGGUAUUACAGAUUACAAGUUAAAUGUACUAAAAAUUAUGUAUAAAAUUAAAUAUUAUUAUACAAAUUGGAAUGGAGAGUAAUAGAGUAAUUUCUUACUAUGUCUAACACCAAUAAACAUUAAAGUAUAUAUUUAUAGUUAUGAUCCAUUGUGGCAAAAAGAAAAAAAAUUGUAUUUUUGAAUUUGAGAUAUAAAAGUAAAGAUUUUUUUCUAUCCCUAUUGUCAUUGGGUUAAACCCGAAAAGGGGGGCAAAGAACCAUUCAACUAAAGUGAAUAUGUGAAGAGAAAAAGAAAAAUGUUUUACUUUUGUCAACAGUCAAGUCAACUACAAAAAGCUACUUUGCUUUAUUAUUUUAGGGGAAAAGGUAUCAUUUCCAUCCCAUACUAUACAAGAAAAGUCGAAGCUACACCUAAACUAUAUAAGUGGCCUAUUACACACCUUAACUAUAUAAAAGUGAUAUUAUUACCUCCCGCGACCCCCAUUCUAAGGCGCGUAUGUUACACUUAUUUUAGGCGCGUCCAACCUAUUAAAUAACAAAAGUAAACGGCUAAAAACAUUUAGGGAAAAGACAUCGUUUUCACCCCAAACUAUAGUCAAAAAGUCGAAUCCACACCUAAACUAUAUAAGUGACCAAUUACACACCUUAACUAUAAAAAAGUGAUACUUUUUACUUCCUAGAUCUGACGUGAAAAAUACAUAAUUAUUUAAAUAAAAAUUGAUGCGUUUAAAUUAAAAAUUAAUGCAAAAAAAAAAUUAAAAAAUUAAAAUACUCCUCCCCCAACCCCCAGCAUCCAUCUCCCUACCCCCACCCCAAAACAAUCAUUUUCUUCAACACCCCCACCCCCAAACCAUCAUCUUUUUCAUCACCCCUAACCUGAAAUUCCAACCCAACCCCAAAUCAUCUUCUUCUUCUUCAUCACCCCUACCCCAACCAACACAAUUUCUUCAUCACCCCACCUCCAAAUUCCAACCCCAUCCCUAAAUAACACAAUUCAUCCUCCACCUUUAUCGAAUCAAUGUCAAUUUCACAAUGAACAAAAUCAAAUUGUAUUUGAUGUUUAAAUAGGCAAAACCAAUUUUUAUAAAAAAAAAUAUAAAAUUUUGUAGAAAGGAUGUUUUUCGGUGAAUUCUCAUCGAAAAAGUUGGAUUCAUCGUUGACUUUCUCCUCUCUAUCUGUUAAUUAUUAAUCCAUCCAAAAAUGUAGCUUGCUACCAUAUUAGUUUUUUUUUAAUUAUAGCUAAAAAAACAAAUAAAAAAAGUACGGAAAUGUGUUGGUAUUACCAUUUAAAACACAGAGGCCAACAGUCGAGUGACCAGUUUUUGAAACAAUAAUGCCCAUUAUAGCCGAAUUUUUUUUUCUGUUAAGAAAGGACGAUGGGUUACGGAUGAAGAAAAAUUUUAGAAGAAAUUAAUUGUUAUGGUAAUUUUAUUGGUGGGAUAAAGUUUAUGGUGGUGAAUAUGGUGUAAUGGAGGUUUUGGACAUUGACAAAAAUGGAGGAUUUAGACAUUGAAGAAAAAGGAAAAAAAUUAAAUUAAAAAGAAAAAAGAAAAAAUUAUGAAAAUAAUAAAUUUAUUAUUUUUUCGGAUUAUGUUGACGUGGCAGCGUGUGUAAAACAGCACACAAGUGGUGUAAUGCCUGACAGAGUGUAAAAAGUAUCACUUUUUUAUAGUUAGGGUGUGUAAUAGGUCAUUUAUAUAGUUUAGGUGUGGAUUCGACUUUUCAACUAUAAUUUAGGGUGAAAGCGAUGCCUUUUUCCUUAAUUUUUUGAAUUAUGCUGACAUGGUGCUGACGUGGCAGGGCGUGUAAAACACCACACCACAUUCAAGUGGUGUAAUGUUUGACAGGGUGUAAAAAGUAUCACUUUUUUAUAGUUAAGGUGUGUAAUAGGUCACUUAUAUAGUUUAGGUGUGGAUUAAACUUUUCUUGUAUAGUUUGGGGUGGAAACGAUGCCUUUUCCCUUAUUUUAGACUAGACUAGAAUUAAUACACGCAUGGUCCUAAAAAUAGUCUUCUUUUUUUCCUUUUGUCGCAUGGAAGCUGACGUUGGAGGUGAAAUUUUUAAUUUAUGAAUUUUAAACAUAUGUAUAAAAUCUAAACUUAAGUUCCUGAAUUUUAUCGAACUUAUCUACAAUAUGCUCCACUCUUAGGAGUGUGGGAGGUGGGGUAGGGAGUUGGAACAGGGGCGAAUUCAGGAUUUGAGCUUGACGGGUGCUCCUUUAUAUUUAAACAUAAUAACAAAUAGGGCCAAAGUUUGACAUGUAGUUCUUUAAAAAUUUAAUAUUAUUGAAUUUGAUGCACUUUUACAUUUUAAACAAAAAUAGAAAGUUUUAGAAAAUUAGGAUUUAUGAGAGAUUUGUUUGCUAGAUAGUUGCUACGAGAAAAUGUUAGAUUUAAGCCUAUUUUAAAUUUUAAAUUGCUAAUUUUUAAAUUAAAAAAAUAAGUCAAUGAUUAAAAGAUAAAAGUAAAACAAACAUUAAACAUUAUAUAGUAUUCACUAUUUUUUUCUAAUAUUUAAGAGUUAAAAAUUAAUUAAAUAUAUUUAUGGCAAAACUUUUCUUAUUAGAAAUCAUCAGAAUUUUAAUAUUUUUUCCUAAUUUAAGAGUUGAAAAUUAAUUAAAUAUAUUUACAGUAAAACCUUUCCUUAUUAGAAGUCAUCAAAAUUAAUGACAACUGAUACUUUUUUUCAUUAGUUUAAAAUUCGAAAUCAACUAAAUUUGAUUUUAAGAAGAUUGGAAAAAUCUAAAAAUAAAUAUAAAACUAUUAGAAUAAGAAAAAUUUAAAAAGUACCUGAUUUUUAAAUGUUUUAAGUAUGUAAUAAGAAUGCAAUCAAUGAUUUUGUAAGAAUUUAACUUUAAAAAUAAAAAAAAUAUUUUAAAUAUUAAAAAAAUCAUAACACAAAUAUGAUUCAAAUUGAUGUGUCUCUCUUAGCCUGUGACAACAAGGGAAAGAAGUACUAUAUGACAAACGCAAAAGUAAUGAUCCAUUAAUGAUAUAUCAACUACUUGAAACUUCUGUUGGUAAAACAUAUAUGUGUAUAUGUUUAUGUUUACAUUAUUAUAUUAUAAUGCGAAAGAUUUUUCAAAAGUGAUUUGAACUCUUACACUUUAUUAAAAAUCUCCGCAAUAGGUAAAUCAUUUAAAUUUAAAUAAUUAAAAAUUAUAUAUCUAUAUAUCUAUAUAAUAUAUUAAAAUUGUGAAGCCCUUAGAAAAAUGAUUUGAACUUUUUACCCUUCAUUAAAAUACUCUUCUUUAGACAAAAUUAUCUUUUUACUAUUUUUUAAUUUAUUAUUUAAUUAUUUUAUAUUAUAUUAACUAGACUUCCUAGAAUAUAUGGAACUUCUAAAAUAUAUGUUAGAAGAAUUAAUUAAUAAUUUUAUUUCUGCUAGACUUCCUAAAAUAUAUGGUUGAAAAAUUAAUUAAUAUUCAUAUUAUCUUGUCCUUUAUUAUUUUUUUUUGGUAGUUUCUAUUAAAAUAUUUAAACCUUUCCCGUUAAACACGUUUUUUUUUUGUUUUUUUUUAGCUUUCAAUUUUUUAACUAUCACCAUUUGUGAUUUUGGUUUGUUUCUUGAACUUUCUUUAACCGGUUUCUUUUUGAGUUUUUGAUAUUAAAAUAAUUUACUUUCCCCAUUAAUCUAGAUUAAUUAUGUAGGAGUAAAUUAUGGUCAAAAGGUUUGCUUAUUGGGUGAAUAUGAUUGAUGCUCAUCUAACUUGAUUCGAUUGUAUGUCUAGAUUUUCACUAUUUUUUUUUAAUUAAGUAUUUAAUUAUUUUUUAUUAUAUUAACUAGACUUUCUAGAAUAUAUGGGACUUCUAAAAUAUAUGGUAGAAGAAUUAAUUAAUAUUUUCCUUUCUACUAGACUUUCUAAAAUAUCUGAGACUCCUAAAAUAUAUGGUAGGAGAAUUAAUUAAUAUUCAUGUUCUCUCCUCCCUUUAUUAUUUUCUUGGCAAUUCUACUAAAAUAUUUAAACCUUUCCCGUUAAACACGUUUCUUCUUUCUUUCUUUUUUUUUUAGCUUUCAAUUUUUUAAUUAUCACCAUUUGUGAUUUUGGAUUGUUUCUUGAACUUUCUUUAAUCAAUUUCUUUUUGAGCUUUUGCUAUUAAAAUAAUUUACUUUCUCCAUUAAUCUAGAUUAAUCAGGAGUAAAUUAUGGUCAAAAGAUUUGCCUAUUGGGUGAAUAUGAUUGAUGCUCAUUUAACUUGAUUUGAUUGCAUUGGUGGGUGCUUGAUUUUCUAACUCAACUGCUUCACUAUUUUUGUCAGCAUAAUAGAAUUCAACAUGUGUACAUAUACAUAUAUCUUCUUUGUUGUCAUUCAAAAUCAUUCUUUAGGAUCAAAAUUUUUGCUCAAACAAGAAUUAGUUGGAUCAAAAUUGAAGCUUUGUGAUUACUAUUAUAUAUUUUUUUUAUAAUUUACAGGUCGUAGAUGAAUGUCGAUUAACUUUGAAGAAUUUCUUGUUUAAAGGUUAGAUUUAAAUGUAUUGUUUUAGUAUCUUUAUUAUCUUAUUAUUUUAUUUUAAUUUACAAAUGCUAGAUGAAUGUGGGUCGAUUUUGAAUUUUUUUUAGGUAAAAGUUAGUUUUAAUCGUAUUAUCAUAAUAUCUGUAUUAGUUUAUUAUUUUGUAUAAAUGUUGGUCGACUUUGAGGAAUUUUUUAUAUAGAUAUUCCCAUAUUUGGCUUUGGCCAAAUCAUCUUUCAUAUAUUUCGUAUUGGAAAAAUCCUUUUGGCCAUAAAAUUUGACCAUAAUUUAUUCAUAAUAAUAAAAAGUUUUAUUCACACUAUAAAUCAGUUUUUUCUUGGACAUUUUUGCCCUUUUACCUUAAAAACUAAAUAUAUUCUUCUAUUAUAUUUUCAAUACAUUGAUUAUUGUGAAGGAGUUUAAUUACAAUUAAUUCACAUAUUCAUUGAAAAGUGUUUGCCAAUUUUCCUUAGCCAUUUGAAAAUACGUAUUCCCAUUUCAAUUUUUCUUAGCCAAUUGAAACGUAUUCCUAUAUUCAUAGGUAUAAAUAUUUAUAAUUUUCAAUCAAACGCAUUUGAAAACAUAUGGUGGAAAUUGAAAUAUAUAUAUCUGUUUAGCAGAUGAUCUAUUAAUGUUUUAUAAAGCAAACACUGCAUCCAUAGCACUACUACAACAAGUUUUUAACAAGUUCUCUACGGCUUCAGGACUACAAGCCAACCAAGACAAGAGUUUCAUUUAUAUGUCAGGUGUCAAGGACACAGAGAAACAACAAAUAUUGCAGACUCUGGGCUACACUGAAGGUUCCCUACCUUUCAAAUACUUGGGAGUACCCCUAUCUUCCAGGAAACUAACUGUUGACCAGUGCUACCCCUUAAUAGAUAAAAUUCUUAAAAGGAUAAAAUGUUGGUCAACAAAACUGCUAUCUUAUGCAGGUAGGCUUCAGCUGAUUAAAUCUAUUAUUUUUGGCAUUCAGACUUAUUGGGAUCAGAUCUUUAUUCUCCCAAAAAGGAUUAUGAAGUUCAUAAACUUUCAUUGUAGAAUCUUCUAAUGGACAGGUAAAAUAGGCCCUUCAAAGAGAGCACUAGUCUCCUGGGAGAGACUUUGUAUGCCAAAGGCAGCAGGAGGGCUAAAUAUCCUGCAUAUCUACAACUGGAAUAAAGCAGCUGUUGCAAAACAACUAUGGGCCCUAGCUACAGAAGCUGAUAGUAUGUGGAUAAGGUGGGUAUAUGCCUACUAUAUCAAAGAUGCUGCAGUGAAGAAUUGUUGCAUCCCAAGGAAUGCUACUUGGGUUGUGAGAAAAGUGAUCGAAUCAAGGAAGGCUAUCAUGCUAACACCUGGAUUGCAAGGUAAUCUUCAAGCAAGACUAAGUCAAUUGAUUGUGAAGGACAGAUUUUCCAUCAAAAAUUUGUACCUAGCCAUGCUACCUGAUAUACCAAAAGUUUCCUGGAAGAGUAUAGUACUUCACUUAAGCAUCCACCUGAGGCACAACUUCAUCCUAUGGCUUGCAUUGUUAAAAAGAUUAGCUACAGUUGAUCAGCUAGCAAAGUUUGGGAUUAGUGUUGAUAUGGCUUGUGCAUUCUGUCGUAAUUCUAGAAACACAUGAACACUUGUAUUUUGACUAUCUAAUUACAAGGGGUUUGUGGUGUAAAUUACUUACAUGGAUGGGAAUUCAUAGAGCCAUAGGGACUUGGCAGCAAGAAGUAGAUUGGAUUAUUAGAUAGGCAAAGGAAAGAUCAGGGAAAGGUGCUACCCUUUGCUGUAUGUUUGCUAUGAUCAUCACUAUAGUAUGGAGAGAAAGAAACCAAGUUAGAUUCCAGCAAGGAAGCUUUGUUCCUGAUAGAGUUUGCAAGGAAAUAGCUAUGCACAUACAUAUCCGUGGAAGCCAGUACAAGAAAUGGACUACACACUUGACGCAACUAAAUUCUAUGCCUUGAUUAGUUGCUGUUUUGAUAUUAUUAGGUACUUAGAAUAGCUAUUCUCAUGUUAGAAAACAUACAGUGGCGACUCCAUAGGGAUGUUAGCGUGAGUCCUGCUGAGUUUUCUGUUAGUUUUUACGUUUCUUUGAGAGGCAAGUGGUCAUCUUUGCCUAGUUAUGUAACUAUUACUUGGUGAAAUAAAAUUCUUUAUUUACCAAAAAAAAAAAGAGAAGGUACUUAAUCAUUUUUUUCUAUUUGUAUUAUAUUUUAGAAGUUUUGUACUUAAGAAUAUAAUGAACAUAAUAAUUUAUUUUUUUCAUCCGUUUAUUAUUAUUAACGUUAUAUACACGUGCAAAGCACGUACACCAAACUAGUUUACUAAAAUAUGCUAAAAAGAGAUGCGCCCUGUAGAAAUGCAACAAUUGAUUUAAUUUUCAUUAAUAAAAAAAUAGCGCUUCGAAAAAAUAAUACCUAGGUUUCAUCACAAAAUAUUGCGAAGCAGCAAAAGGAUUUCAUCAAUCAACUUCAUAAAAAAAGAAUUUAUUUUCAUCCAAAAAAUAAAAAUAUGGAAAUUGAUUCAACCGUUAAACUUAAUGAGUUUAAAUUUUGUGUAUCGUUAGUGUAAUAGAUUUUCUACAUCAUCAGGUAAUUUUGAAGAUAAACAUCAUAACUUUAUUAAGUAAUUAAUAACAUACGUUUUUAAAUAUUUCUAAUCUCUAUCUCUAAUCUCUAACCUCUAUUUAUUAUCUCUAAUUUUCAAUAUCUAUCUCUAUCUCUAAUCCCUAUCUCUAAUAUAUUAUAAGUGUGAAAGAAGAUGUUAUUUGAACUUUUUGUCCUUCAUUAAAAUACUUUGCUUUAGACAAAAUUAUUUUUUUUUACCUUUUUUCUUAAUAAAUUAAUAAGAAAUAAAAAAUUUAAAACCUAAAACAUUUAGGAAGAAGUUUAAAUUGUAGAAAAUAAUUAUAUGUCUAUUUUUAAUAAUAGAGGAACAAUUAAUUUUCUUUAGUGAUAAAGAAUUCUUUUAAGUCUAGAAUUCUUGACAAAUAAAUUCGGGUCUUCUCGCUAGAAACAUGGCUUUGUCCUUCAAUCAUGAUCUCACACGGACUGAUUGACUUCUUUUUGGUCCUUGCUUCGCAAAUUUAAGAGUGUUCCUAAAUCAAAUCCACGAUCAAAAUGAGCCCUUUAUCAAUUUAAAAUAACAAAGUAUGUAAGGGCACAAAAUUUUAGUCUUUUUUCACAGAACGUCUGGUAACGACGUCAACUUUUACAAAAGGUAUAACACUCAUAAAAAAUGCGAGUUAUCCAUUUUUAUUUUAUAAGGUUCAAAAUAUAUUUGAGUUAUCUAUUUUUAUUUUAUAAAGCUCACAUAAUAUGUGAGUUAUCUAUUUUUAUUUUAUAAAACACAUUAAAUAUGUGAGCUUUGCAUCUGAUAUAAAAAACUCUUGCCUUUUUCUAUCUCGGUCCCCUCCCCCAAUUUUUCUUUACCCGAUUCUCCUUAAAGAAACAACAAAAUCCUACAAAUUUUCCACUUCGAUUUCCCACAUUGAUCUCCACAAGGAUUAAGAAAUAGAGAGGUAUCAAGGGCUGAGCGUACUUUUCGCUCAAGAAUAAGACAUGGAGCUAUUAAGUGUUGGUGUCGCUUUCCUUUUCCUAGCUCUUUUUUGGGUUCCCUAUCGAUAUGUGUAUGCCUUCGUCGAAGAAAGAAGGGAAAUCACAAGAAAUUUUCAUACAUCUAGGCCUCAUUUCAUUAAUGAAUCAUUCGAGAACGAAUUUAGCGGGACUAAUUAAUCUUAUUUAACCUUAGAUGGGAAUUAGGGCGAAGCCUUGGGCAGUCUCUGCCUUCUUAACACGACGCACACCAACUUGAAGUCUGAUUUGAAAAUCUCUCUCUACCUUCCCUCAAUACAAAUUUUAGUCAAUUUUCAAUCAGUGGUACCACAUGAUUGUAGUUCAGUGCUUGAAAAUCGAGAAAUUGUUACGGUUCAAAUUGAGGAAAUUUUCUGAAAUUUUUGUUACAAUUAUUGGUUCAAAUUGUUUGUUUAGUGAAUGAUGUUGUAAUUGUUGUUUGGAUUUUUCAUUACUAAUUUUAUUACAUUACUUUCUUCAAUGAUUGUUCUUUUCGAGUUCAUGUAAAAGCAUUGCAUACACAUGGUACUAUUGUAAACUAGAUACAACCGUCAUAAUAUACAUCCGUAUAACUUUUGGUAGUUAUUGUGGUUGUAUUGAUUUUAGUUUUACUUUGUUCCUUGUGAUUAAGGACCACUCGUUGCAGCUACGUGAUUGUUGAUACGUAGAUAUUUGAUUAAACACACCGAGUGGCGAGUGCCUUGUAUUUGAAUGAUGUUACUUAACAUGGUCAUCCCUGUAGUUGGUAUUUCAUUUUCAUCUGCCCACAUACGAAUAUGUUUUUUUUCAUUAUUGAAGAACUUUCCAAGUAUGUUAUUGUUGUUGAAUUUUUCAAGAAAGUUGAGGUAAGGUCUGUAUGCACUUUAUCUUUCGUAGACCUUUGUGGGAUUUUUACUUUAAUUAUUGUGAUUAUGCAUCACUUGUUGCAACUACGUAAUUGUUGAUGGUUGUUGAUUCAUAGAUAUCCGUCGGAUAAACAUGCCGGAUGUCUUGUAUAUUUGCAUUUUGAAUGUAAGGAAGGGUUCUAUCUAGGGAGUGGGGAAGACUUUCUAUAGUCACAUAAUUAAUAAGCUUUAUAAAAUAAAAAUAGAUAACUCAGGUAUUAUGUGAGAUUUAUAAAAGAAAAAUAGAAAAUUCAUAUAUUAUGUGAGCUUUAUAAUAUAGGAAUGAGUAAUUCACAUUUUUUGUCAAUCGUUCUGUUAAAAAAGGCUAAAAAUCACAAAAUAUGUGAGUUUAGCCUAUUUUGGUAUUAUUUAAUAUACAUAACAUACUUUGAUAUUUUAAAUAAAUGGAGGACUCAUUUUGAUUGCGGGUUCGUUGGGUCGCUGUAUUAGACUUGACCCUUCUCUUUUGUAAAAUUUGCAUAAAUCCCAACAAGUUUACCUCUAAUUUAUUUCCAUCCCUACUCUUUGCUAAAUUACAAAUAAUCUCUUAUUUGUAAAUUUUCGAUACAUAAUUUUGAAGUUGAGAUACAUAAAUUUUGAACUUAAGAAUGUAACAGUUAAGUACUCCAUUAUUGCUCGGAUACUUACUUAGCAACAGUAUACGUAAUUCUGAAGUUGAGAUACAUAAUUUUGAUUACCGAGAUACAUUUAUAUUUGAAACUAUUUGAUCAAGCUACGUAAUACAUUAACUAGACCAUACAGAGAUAUAUAAUUAAAAUUAGGUAUUCAAAAAUUUAUGAAUUUGUGGAUGUAUCCGGUUAUUUUUAAAAGAUAAGGGACUUAGGUAAUUAAUAGAAGGAAAGUGAUUUUAUGUAGUUUAGUAACGAUAAGUUGAGGUGUUAUGUAAUUUUUCCUUCUCUGUUUUUACUUUGGAUUUUGCGGACUGGGCUUCUAGUCCAAUUUGUUAAUUUUUUGAUUUGAUUAUCAAUAUAAUGAUCCAUAAACCACCAAAUUAAAAUUCCCUUAUAGCCGAAGAAACUUUCAACGUAUAUUGAACCUACAAUAAUUAAAUAAAACACGCUAAAAAGAGAUGCGAGCUUUAGAAAUGCAACAAUUGAUAUAAUUUUCAUCAAGAAAAAAAGCGCUUCGAAAAGACAGUACCUAGGUUUCAUCACAAAAUUCAAGUGUUGCGAAGUAGCAACUGGAUUUCAUCAAUCAACUUUAUUAAAAAAAAAGAAUUUAUUUUCAUCCAAAAAUUAAAAAUAUGAGAAAUCGAUUCAACCAUAAACGCUAAUGAGUUUAAAUUUUGUGUACCGUUAGUGUAAUAGAUUUUCUACACCAUAGGUAAUUUUAAAGAUAAAUAUGUUAACUUUAUUAAGUAAUUAAUAACAUACCCUUUUAAAUAUCUCUAAUAUCUACUCUCUACUCUCUAUCUCCAAUCUUUUAUCUCUAUCUCUAAUUUCUAAUAUAUUAAAACUAAUCUUUAUCUCUAAUCUCUAAUAUAUUAAAAGUGUUUCUAAUCUCUAAUCUUCAACUCCAAUCUCUAAUCUCUAAUCUCUAAUCUCUAAUCUCUGAUCUCCAAUCUCUAAUCUCUUAUAAAUGGUUGAUGUUUGAACUUUUUAUCCUUUAUUAAAAGGCUCCGCUUUAAGAAAAUCACAAGAAAUAAAAAAUUUAAAACCUAAAACAUGUAUAUAGGAAGAAGUCAAAAUUGUAGGAAAAUAAUUAUAUGUCUAUUUUUAAUAAUAGAGGAACAAUUUUUUUUAGGUGUUUUUAAGUCUAGAAUUCAUGACAAAUAAAAUCAAUCUUCUUGCUAGAAACAUGGCUUUGUCCCUCAAUCAUGGUCUCACACGGACUGAUUGGUUUCUUUUUGGUCCUUGCUUCGCAAACUUAAAUGAGUGUUUAAACAAGCAAAAAAUAAACGAAAAAUAUCGUGAGGUUGAUAAUACAAGAGUAUUUUACAGAGGAAAUCUGAAGCCAAGAAUGAUGAAGGCAUUAAUUAGAUGUUAUAUUACUUCCCGUAGCAACACUAAUAGAAAGGUCAUGGAUAUCAAUAGAUAUAUGGGAGUUGAGGUUGUACAACUUUUUUUGAUAUUACAGGAAGUGUAGGGGUGUAGGGUUGCAAGAGUGCUGCUAAUGCUGCAUGUUUUAGUUUAGCAAAUUAUUCUCUUGAAAAAUUGGUAAUUUCAAAUGUUUAUAUAUAAAUAGGGGAGGUGGCAAAUCUUUUUAUUAGAUGCUGGAGUUAUUUGCUUUUGCCAAAUAUAUAGUUGGACAUAAAAUCGUGCUGCAGAAAGAAACGAAGCAAUUAAGCUUUCUUUGCUUUGAAAUUUUUUUGCUUUCUUUGCAAGUUUUAGAUUUGGUUAUGGGAGAAAUAGUUUUGUUAUUGGUUGGAAGAGGAAUUUUGAUUGUUUUAUUUUUUCACAAUAGAACUUUAAUUUAAUUUGAUUCUCAACUUGAUAUGAAAUGCAUGAAUUUGAUUAUAUAUUCUUUGAUUUUACAAUGAGUAGUGUGAUUUUCUAAGUCAUGAUGCUUUAUGUGUAAUUCGUGAAUUUUGAUGGUAAAUUACGGAGCAAAAUAGUGUGUACCUUGGUAGAUUUCUGUAAUGCCCUGAGACUACAUCCUGGGUGUCACACGGUGCUUACGAUCCCAAAGGACCACAAAGUAAUCCAUGACUGGUACCUACUGUGAGUACUGAGUAAUAAUAAUGAAAACGUAUUAAAAUUGAAAAUGCCAUAAGGUUCAUAAAACUGAAUCAAUACUGAGUACAUCUGUAGAUAACUGCUAACUGAUAAUGUCUGAAAGCCUCUAAACAUCUGAAAUAAAAGAGUUGAUGGGAGACCCUAACUAACUCACAACUGUUGUCUAAAAUAACCGAAAUACUGAAAUAAUGCAAAGAAAAAAUAAGUAUCGCAUCCUUGACGGAUGAGGACUCACUACUGUAACUACCGCUAAUCGAUUGAUCUGGCUAAGUAUGGUCAGGAACCCGAGCGUCUGAACCUAUGAUAUGAGACAUCAUAGCGCAAAGAGAGAG
Molecule: long non-coding RNA, 75654 nt
Filed under: Capsicum annuum
Lineage: Eukaryota; Viridiplantae; Streptophyta; Magnoliopsida; Solanales; Solanaceae
Description: long non-coding RNA (CANN_LNC007984)
Source: RNAcentral